RNAcentral lists this long non-coding RNA (72411 nucleotides) under Vitis vinifera (wine grape). Its description in RNAcentral is "long non-coding RNA (VVIN_LNC005254)". Lineage: Eukaryota; Viridiplantae; Streptophyta; Magnoliopsida; Vitales; Vitaceae. The record is from RNAcentral.
UGCAGUCCGCCGGGGUACUCCAAAACAAUCUAGGCACUCAUGAAGAAGUGGCUGAAUUUUUCAACACUGUGUCCGCCGACUUGGAAUCAAACUUUCUUGCUUACAAAGAUGUGAGAGUCAAGAUUCGGAACCACCUUAAAAGUCACUAUAACAGCAGACUGAAAAUGUGGAUGACACAAUGCCUGGACACCUACUUCGGUAGCCCCUGGACUAUCAUAGCUUGGGUUGGUGCUGCUUUGGCCCUUUUCUUUACUGCCGUCCAGACUUACCUCUCAGUCUUCCCUCAUUGAUGCAUGCAUGCCCUGUUUUCUCGCUAUCUAUUGAGUGCUUCUGCAUUUUACCUAGCCCAAAUUCAUGGCCUCCAUAUAACCCUUUGAUGGUUGCAAAGUAAAUUAGGCAAAGAGUCAUUGGUCUCGUUUCUUUUCCUUUUUCAGCGUAUUUUCUAUCUUCCUUUCCGUGUGUAAAACAAGUAAAAAAGGAAUGUGUGCUGUGAUCUUAUUUUAGUGUAUUUUGUGCCUAUGUAUGCAUCAGUAAUAUUAUGUUUUAUUUAAGUAACUAAAAAUAGAUAUGGGUGGACUAUUUUUCUAUUUUUGGAUCCCUGUUAAUGUAUUAUGUUAGGUUGGCAAUUUUAUUCAUUGAUGUUUUAGUCGGAUACAACUUAUUUCCUCAAAUCUUAAUGGUUGUGACCGAGUUCAUCAGUUCGAUACGAGGUAAGUGUUUGAAGAAGUAGAUACAGCAAUGAAAACUUAAAAUAUGAAAAACAAAAACAAAAAAGCAAAAGCAAAACAAAGUGAAAGUGGAGAAAAACCUGGCUGGAAUGUACGAAAUUCAACAGAUGCAAGUGUCAUUUAUUCAUUUUUAUUUGAGAAAAAAUAAAAUAUUAAAAAUAUUCUUAGAAAUCUAUUUAUCAAUUUUUUAUUAUAAUUUUUUUCUUGGAUUUCGUACAAAAUAUAUCAAAAGAAUUGAUAUUAGCUUCCAUGAACUUAUCUCAAAUACCAUUUUUGUGGCGAAGAAGCUUCCAACAAGUGGAUCUUUUCUGAAGAAAAUAAAGGGAAGAAGCCGUGGAAUAGAAUAACGGGGAAUGGUAUUUAUGUUAUAUUGAAGGCAAUUAAUGGAUGGAUGUAUUGAUAUGAUUUUUAUCUUCUUGGUUGAUUGUGUAAAUAGAAUGAUUGUCUAGAGAAUUUAUUAGGUGGAAGUAAAUAUGAAUUCUCUUCAUCUCAAAGGGAGUAGUAUUUUUUGGUGAAAAAGAGUUUAGUAAUUUAAUCAUUUUACAAAAAAAACAUUUUAUUUUUCUUUUUUAUUUUUAAGAUGAUAUUAGAAAGUUUGAAUGUAAUGUUUUACAUUGGAUAUAUGAGAAAAUUGGGUAUCAAUCCCUUACUCCGGUAUGGGAGUUUGUUUGGUUCUAUAAAGGGUAUUUAUUUGUUUCGUCCAACAAUCUCAUAGGAUACAACAAAGACAUUAUAUUUAUAUGAGGAAUGUUUGUAAUGUUUCACAAUGAAUAAAAGAGAAAGUUCCUAAGAUUAUAUAUGUAUGAGUUUCUUUUAAUUUUGUAAACGUGUUUUAGAGUCUUAAAUGUCUUAUUGGACACAGAGCAAAUAAUAUUUAUAUGGUUAGAUACAAGUCAUCACAAAUGGUUUAAAAGCUAAUCAUUUUUCUUGGUGUGGGAGUUUGUUUAGUCCUAUGAAGCAUUUUUGUCUAUUUGACCAUAUAAUCUCAUGAGACAUGUGGUUAUGUCCCAUAAACAAAAAUUUGAAGUGAAAGAAAUGAUCUCUUGAAAAAUAUUUAAGACACUUUAAAUAUAUAUAUAUGACAAUCUCGUUGUAAUCAAAAGUCAAUUUCAAACCAAGACAAAAUUUGUCGAUUUGUUCAUGGUUUAAGAUAAAGGUAUGAAUUUUUUUUUUCACCUACUAUACUUUUCUAGCCAAUUUAUAGUAGCUUUUCAAAGACAUAAGCAAUCACUCACUACCAAAAAAAAAAAAAAAAGAAAAUGUUCUUAAAGCAUGCAUAAUUUUUUAUUUGGACGACAUUGUAAUGAUCAAAAUGGUUGAGAAAACAAAAUUUUCAAUUUGAUGGGAAGGGGUUUCAUCCUUUUUAUGUGUUACAAUUCUUAAAAAAUAAAAAAUAAAAAAUACUUUCGUGUUUUUAUGAAGUCCUUGUCAAAGGAUGUCUUUAUCAUGUUUUAAGACAAGUUGGGACUAUAGACAGUUAUUGGCAUUGGCCAAAUAACCAAGAAUUCUUGAUACUUGUCCCAUACAAGUAUAGUUUUCUAAGUUGGGUUGAUUUUUGUAAACCACAACUCUUCAACCCAGUAAAUGGCGUUAAAUAUAAUGUUUGGAGGUUGGUCAUCUUAUGAAGACCCAAAUCACCACCAAAGCAACUCUCCAUUUUCGGUUGGCUUAAGAUCUUACUGUCAGGAAUGUAUAGAUGUUUCAAUUGGUACAACUUCCAAAUUGAACAUGGAAUCACGGAAGAACUAUGGCGUACCUCUAGAAUCUAUAGGUUAAAGAGUUUGCCUAUAGACCAUGAAAAACUUUUAGUAGAACGUGCACUCUCGACAGAAAAAUAUUUGUAGAUCUUUUCUGACUUCAAGUAGUGUUAGGUCUAACACUGUUAGCAAUUUUGUUCUUAAGCAAGGUAUCAAAUUUACUUGAGAAAGAUCAAUAGAACAAAUCAAAGAUCGGAGGAGGCGGCAGGUAUGCAAAUGUUUGAGAAAUAUUUUUUAAGUCAUGAGCAAUAAGUCGACGAGGGUUAAAAGGGCAUGCAAGGAUGAUGUUUCGGUGUACCUCAAAUUUUUUUGAAUCUUUGGCUUUUGAAAUAGCAAGGUCGCGAAGGAGAUCAUGGAUACGACAAGACUUUACUCUUCCAUCCCAUUUUCUUCUGGCCACCUGAAUCAUGCUUCUAUGAAUCAACUCUUCUAAAUAAUCCUCAGCAACGUCUUCCACCAUUUCUUCACCCCUUUGUACAAAUCCCUCCGUAAUCCACAUUUGGAGCAAUUUGUUUGCCUUAAUUUCACAAUCUUCCGGAAAAAUACCACAAUAGAGAAAACAAGACCUCAAGAAAUAAGGCAAGUCACUAUAGCUCAAAGCAACAAUUCCCAAGCAUGAGUUGGGGCCUUGACUUAGAUUUCCACUCCAUGCUUUUUAGUAUUUUCUCCCACGAAGAUUUAGACUUCUCUUUUCUUGAUAGAAGCCCUCCUGAUACCACAAUGGCUAGAGGUAAGCCUUUGCAUUUCUUUAUAAUCUCAUUUCCCAUACCUUCAAACUCUACAAGACAAACAACUGGUGAUGUACUUGCAGUUGGAAAAGUUUUCUUGAGAAAGGGCAUCCAACUCUCUUCUGGACAUAAAGGACGGAGUUCAUAGAGCUGUGCAUGGGCAUCCGAAGCAAUUUGUUGGUUAUGUGUGGUGAUGAGCACUCUGCUCUUGUUUGACUUAUGCUAAACUUGGAUGCUCUAUACAUCAUCCAACACUAUCAAAUACCUUUUAUCUUUGAGGUAACCAUUAACCUCUUUCCCCAAUUGAUCCUCAACCAUUUUAUAUUACCUUUAAAAAUUAUUUAAAAUAGCCUUAUGUCACGGACUUAGUCUUUUCCUAAUUAAGCUUGUGCGGCACUUAGACAAACUAAGACCCUUGAUCUUGCUAAGUCAGUCUUACUCUCAAUGCUUAGCUUGCUAGGCUAAGACGCUCACUACUCGGAAGUUUUAGAAGGUAUAGUAGGCAACUCUUAUAGAAUGAAAGCUUUAUUGCUUUCAAAUGAAGCUAUACAAUGCUUAGAAGCUCACUUGCUUGGUUAGGAAGUGAUAUUGAAGCUUUAUUACUUUACUGCCGUCUAGACUUACUUCUCAGCCUUCUCUCAUUGAUGCAUGCAUUCCCUGCUUUCUUGCUAUCUAUCGAGUGCUUCUGCAUUUUACCUAGCCUAAAUUCAUGGACUCCACAUGACCCUUUGAUGUGCAUAGUAAAUUAGGCAAAGAGUCAUUCGUUCCGUUUCUUUUCCAUCUCAGCAGAAUGAAUGGGUGCUGUGAUCUUAUUUUGGUGUAUUUUGUGGUUAUGUACGCAUAGGUAGUAUUAUGUUUGAUUUAAGUAACUAAAAAUAGGCAUGGGUGGACUAUGUUUUCUAUGUUUGGAUCCCUAUGAAUGUAUUGUAUUAGGUUGGCAAUUUUUUUUUAUUGAUGUUUUACUCCAUGCAACUUAUUUCCUCGGAUCUUAAUGGUUGUGAUUGAAUUAAAAUUACUAUGAGGUAAGGGUUUGAAGGAGCAAGAUAAAGUAUGAAAACUUCCAAAAAAAAAAAAGAGAAACAGAACAAUGUGAAAAAUGGAGAAAAACCUGACAGGAAUGCAGGAAAUUUAAUAGAUGAAAGUUAUUUAUUCAUUUUUAAUUGAGAAAAAUAGAAUAUUAUUAUUAUUAUUAUUAGAAAAUUAUUUAUCAAUUUUCUAUUAAAAAAUUUUCUUGGAUUUCACAGAAAAUAUAAUAAAUAAAUUGACAUUAGCUUCCAUGAACUUAUCUCAAAUCCCAUUUUUUUGUGACAGAAGCUUCUGAGGACAGGAUUUUUUUUCUCAGGAAAAAUGGGUGGAACAAGGUGGAAGGUGUGGAAUAGAAGAAUGGAGAAUGGUAUGGAUGUAUUGAUAUGAUUUUAAUCCUCUUGGUAGAUUGUGUAAAUCAGAUGAAUGCGUCAGAGAAUUUCUUGAAUAAGGGUGUAGUAAUUUUCGGUAAUGAAGAGUUCAGUAAUUUGUUGAAUUGUUUUUAAAAUAUUUUCUUUUUCUUUCCAGUUUUUAAGAUGAUAUUGGAAGGUUUGACUCAGUAAUAUUAGGUUUAUAUGUGUUCAGAAUAUGUGCAGGGUUUACAACUUAUAUAAUUUUUGGCAAAUAUUUGUCACAACAGUAAUUAUGAAACUUUUAAGAUGAAUUUAGAAGUGAAAAGUGUUUUAAAAAGUGGAAAAAUCUCCGUAAAAAAGAUUGUGUUAUCUAGCAUGAUUUUUUUUUUCUUUGCUUUUCUUUGCUUUUGUUGCAACUCUUCUAUUUCCAACCUUUUCUUAGGACCAAAAUACUAAUAGUUUCUAUUAAGCAAAAUAAUAAAACAUGACACAAGAUGUACAAUGAUAGGACACAUAAUGAUAAGAAUCCACUUUCAUUAAUAUUUAUAUAAAUAAAAAAUAAUCAAAUAUUAAUUUUAUUUGAUUCUCCUAAUUUAGAAAAUAAUAUUUAUUUUAGAUAAAUCAAGAGCAGCUAAGAAUAUUUUAUCUUCUUAAUUUAGGAAAUAAUAUUUAUUUCCUUAAUGUUAAGAUAUUUAUUUCUUUCUAUGAUACACAAUGCAUCUUUGUAUAAAUUUCUGAAAAAAACAAUAAAACAAUUGUUUUCAUUAUGAAGAAGCUCAAACUUGAGUCUUCUCCAAGAGUGGUUGAAUGUUCUAGAAAGAAUGUCAUAAAAGGCUUGAUGUAUCCUCGUAAAUCAUAUCUUCCUCUUUAAAAAAAAAAAAAAAAAAAAGCCUUAAUGUUCCCAUCUUCCAUUAAUAUUCUUUCUAGUUUGAUUUCAAUCAAGCUAAACAACACAAAUUUUCUACCAUGGUGAAAUCAAAUCAUCCUCUUUCAUGACUUCAAUGUUUUAGCCUUUCAUGUAUGUUCUACGCUUUCAUUAGAGUUAUUUCUGGCUUGAUUUCAAUCAAGUUAAACACCACAAAUUUUCAAUUUUUGUCAUCUUCUUAAUUUGUGGUGUAAGUGUUCUCCAACAUUUCUUACCUCUUGAAAAAAUUAAAUAUUAUAAGGAAAGCAAUGUUCUAUCUUACAAUACUAGUUAUUGAUCAAUGAUAAAUUCAUCACUUCAUGAAUUUGAAUCAUAAAAGAGCAUAUUUUAAGUAUAAUCUUUGGUGUUAACAUGGUGUAUGAGAUAUGAACUUUUAAAGAGAAAUUGCUUCUUAUUAUAAUUGACAAUCACGUCAUAAUCAAAAGCCAAUUUCAAAUCAAGACAAAGUUUGUGAAUCUGUUCAUGGUUUAGGAUAAAGGUCUGAAAUAUUUUUCACCUACUAUGCUUUUCUAGCCUAUUCAUGGUAGCUUUUUAAGAAUACAUGCAAUCAUUCACUACCAAAAGGGAGGGAGAAAACAUUCUUAGAGCAUGCACACAUUUUUAUUUGAACGAUAUAGUCAUAAUUAAAAUGGUUGAGAAGACAAAAUUUUCAAUGUUAGGAAAGAGGCUUCACACUUUUUGUGUGUUAUAUUUCUCACAAAAAAAAUUCUUUCAUGUUUUGAUCAAAUCUCCAUAAAAAAUGAUGUCUUCACCAUGUUUAAGAGUAUAUUGGGUCAAAUAUACUUUACCUUCUUAAGUAAUCAUGUGCUUUACAUUUUGUUCCCUCGUUUAAAAUUCAACAAUUUGUCUUCCAAACUUCUUAAAAACCAACAUUACACCUUUUUUGUUGAAUGAUGUUACAUUAAUAAAACGAAAAAUGUAAGUGCCUUGCAUGUGACCUAAUAAGUAGAGGUAAAAUUGUCAUUUGAAAUACUCAAAGCCUUAAAAUCUCGUCAAUCUUUGUUUUUCCUUCCUCCAAACUCUUCAAUCUUCGAUUUUCUUUCUCCAAAGCCCUAAAAUUCAAUCAUCAAAGGGUUGAGAGUUUGAUUUAAAAUAUGGAUUUCAAUGAUAGUUUUUUUUUUUAUAAACCCCUACACUGUUUUGCUUCAAUUUUGUCUUUGAUAGCUAAGAAAAUUUCAAGAAGAGAAUAAAUUUUGAGUGAUGAGGUGUUUAUAAGGGUUAGGGUUUUCUUUUGAUAGUUGAAAAAUUUUUGGACAUCAUCAAUUUUUUUUUUCAGACUUAUAAAAUAUAUAAUAAAUAUUUUUUAAAUAGCUUAACAAAUAUUUUUUUUGUUUUUUACUUACAAAAUAAUAAAUAUGCCGUACAUUAUUUGUCCUAUAUAUUAAAUAAUUUUUAAAUACCUCAUAAAAUAUUAUUAUUAUUAUUAUUAUUUUAACUUACAAAUUAGACUCAUAGUGUUUAUUAUUUGUCAUAUUAUUUUGAAAAUAAUGUAAACAAUCACAUGCACUUUAAGAUAUUCAAAAUUUCUCUAUUCCAAAAUUAUCUAACUGUUCAUCACACUAAUUCUAAAUAUUUUAAAAUAAAGAUUUUAUACUGUUUUGGUUUUGGAGAGUUUAUUUUAUAUGUUGUAUAUAUUUUAUAUAUUUUUUUUUUGUUGGGUAUAUAUAGAAUUGAACAUUUGAUAGUUUAAAAUUUUUGUUUUAAUAAAAGAAAUCGUUAAAUAAACAUGUUUUAAUAAAAUAAUAUUUCUAAAACAUUUUUCUUAAUAAAAGAAAGUUUUUUAUUAAUAAAAAUAAAAAAAAACGCUUUUAAGAAAAUCCAAAAAAAAAAAUUGUUUGUAAUGAAAUUUGAAAAAUUAUUUUUAAUAAUAAUUAUCAAAAAAAUUAUUUAUUUAAUAAAAAUUGUUCAAAAAAAUUAGUUUUUAAAUAAGAUUUUCCAAAAGAUUAUAUUUCAUAAAAAAUCGUACAAUUUUUUUUUUUUUUUACAAAUAAAUUCUAUUUCCUUACUUAUAAUAGGAUUAAAAGUAAUUUUUGUAAAUUACAAAUUUCAAAAUUUUGAACCGCCCUUUUAGAUUUCAAAAUUUGAAAUGAUUUACGCCGCUGUCCGCAACUUGCAAUUUCAAAAAUUUGAAAUUGUUUACUUUGCUUGGGUGCUCGUCCCUUCAAAUUUCAAAUUUGAACGUUUGCCCGCCUUUCAGCUUUCAAAAUUUCUCGCCCAUCAAAUUUCAACUUAGGGGUGCCCGCCUGCUUGCCCUUCAUUUCAUAAUUCCAUAAACAAUUGUCCUCAUCUUGGCUGUCCUUUCGUUGGUUUUUUUUGGAAGACACGGGGGAGAAGGUAGAGACAAAGGUUGACAGAGUAAGUGUAACGACCCGCACCCAACCAUGUAGAUAUUGUCCGCUUUGGGCCCAAGGGGGCCCUCACGGCUUUAAAACGCGUCUACUUGUUUAAGAAGAGUCUCUACAUAUAUAGCGUCAGGAACUUCCUCCCCUAUCCGAUGUGGGACAUCACAAAUACCCCCCCCCCCNNNNNNNNNNNNNNNNNNNNNNNNNNNNNNNNNNNNNNNNNNNNNNNNNNNNNNNNNNNNNNNNNNNNNNNNNNNNNNNNNNNNNNNNNNNNNNNNNNNNUUUUUUUGGAAAGACCCGGGGGGAAAGGGAGAAAAAAGGGUUAACAGAGUAAGGGUAACCCCCCCCCCCCCCCCAUGUGUUUUUUUUCCGCUUGGGGCCCAAGGGGGCCCCCCCGGUUUAAAAAGGGGUUUACUUUUUUAAAAGGGGUUCUUAAAUAUAAGGGGUCGGGAACUCCCCCCCCUUUUCGGAGGGGGGACUCCAAAAAUCCCCCCCCCCCCCCCCCCCCAUGCAGACACAACGUCCUCGUUGUGUCCCAUGGGAUUGUGGGGCCAAACAGACAAAGCCAAACAAACUCCCACACCGGGGUCAGGGAUCGGCUCUGAUACCACUCUGUCACGCCCAAGACCCACUCCAAGGGCAUGACGGUCAUUUCACACCUCAAACCCGAAGGCUUAAAGUAUAAUCUGACCCAAACAAUCAUAUUGUAACUGGAUGUUACCAAUUACCAAAUACCUGUUCAGAGUAGCAGAACAAAAUCUAAAAUCCUCAAAAUUCAAUUUCCAAAUAACUUCCAAAUAUCAAAUGAUCCAAAUGAACAUAACUAACAGUUAAACAAAAUCCAACAUAAAAUCUUAAGUCAANNNNNNNNNNNNNNNNNNNNNNNNNNNNNNNNNNNNNNNNNNNNNNNNNNNNNNNNNNNNNNNNNNNNNNNNNNNNNNNNNNNNNNNNNNNNNNNNNNNNACCCAACCAUGUAGAUAUUGUCCGCUUUGGGCCCAAGGGGGCCCUCACGGCUUUAAAACGCGUCUACUUGUUUAAGAAGAGUCUCUACAUAUAUAGCGUCAGGAACUUCCUCCCCUAUCCGAUGUGGGACAUCACAAAUACCCCCCCCCCCCCCCCCCCAUGCAGACACAACGUCCUCGUUGUGUCCCAUGGGAUUGUGGGGCCAAACAGACAAAGCCAAACAAACUCCCACACCGGGGUCAGGGAUCGGCUCUGAUACCACUCUGUCACGCCCAAGACCCACUCCAAGGGCAUGACGGUCAUUUCACACCUCAAACCCGAAGGCUUAAAGUAUAAUCUGACCCAAACAAUCAUAUUGUAACUGGAUGUUACCAAUUACCAAAUACCUGUUCAGAGUAGCAGAACAAAAUCUAAAAUCCUCAAAAUUCAAUUUCCAAAUAACUUCCAAAUAUCAAAUGAUCCAAAUGAACAUAACUAACAGUUAAACAAAAUCCAACAUAAAAUCUUAAGUCAAAUCCUAAUGAUGACCAUUCCUCAGCCUAGCCAUCACUCCUCACCCGAACUAAGAGUACCUGAAGAAUUUUCAACAAUUGGGAAUGAGCUCACAGCCUAAUAAGGAAUAUUAAUGCAGUUCAUGAAUCAAAUAUUUUCAUUUUAAAUAGGAGAUAUCAUUUUUUUUUUUUCAUCAAAUAUUAGAGUUUCAAAAAUACCAAUAUAUUCAAAAUUCAACCAACCAUUUUCAUAUCAAAUUCAAACACUUUCACAUAAGAUUCAAUCAAAUCCAUUCAAUUUUCAUUACUCUGGUUAUCAAAUAUCAAAUGCCCAAUUAGGUGGGACUUUUCAAAUGGGUGGCUAGCUUCAAAUUGUUCCUGGUGGACGGAACUAAACACUACUAGUACUAGUAACCUCUAACCAAACCCCUAGAGGCUGGGGUCCAAAUCAAUUACAUUCCCACCAUGAAAUGUAAAGGUCAACUAUUAUAUCCCGUUGACAGGGCCGAAUAGUCAACUAUUAUAUCCCGUUGACAAGGGCCAAAUAAACCAGAGUGAUGGUUUUGUUCAAGUAUUCAAAUUUACACAACAUAAUAUCUCCAUAUUUUGUGUCAUAAAUGAAACAAAAUAUUCCAACAUAACAUUUAGUGCAAAACAAUUUGAUCCAUGCAUGAUAACAAAAUAUCAUUUUCUUUUCCACAAUUCAAAAUAACGUAUAAAAUAAUUUAAUUUUAUAAAUAUUACAUUAACUUCCUUUACCUUAAAAGAAAUCCUCCAAAAACUUUGGAGAAAAAUAAUCCUGAAAAUCUACUCUUCACCUAACAAAACAUAAGAGAAACAAUUAUUACUAUUUAUUUAUAAUUUAACUAAUCUAUUCCUUAUUUAAAUAAACUAAUAAAUUCCCAAUUUAUUUCUAAUAACACAUUACUAAUUUAAUUAAAUUAUAAUUUUAUUUCAUUAUAAAAUUCUAUAUAUAUAUAUAUAUAUAUAUAUAUAUAUUUUGCUAAAUCUAUUAUUACUAUUAUCUUAAUUAUAAAUCUAAAACUAAAUAUUAUUAUUUUAAUUAACCAAUUCCAAAGCCACUCAACCUAUCUCGGGUACACCAAACCAAAAAGCAAGUUUUUUUUUUUUUUUCAUUGCCAUCAUGAUCCAUUAUAUAUAUAUAUAUAUAAAAGGGCUUCCUGGCGCACGCCUUUUUUUUUUUGUUCCAUGCUUCCAAUAACACAGUACACGUAUGCCCUUUUUUGUUUUUUUUUUUUUUUUAAUAAAAUUAACCCUAACCUAAAAUCGAAACCUUCCAAGAAAAUUUUUUUUUUCAUCUAAUAAAACUUAAGAUCUCCCAAAUUCAAAUACUAAAAUCAAAAUAUUAAAUUUUCACUAUUUGAUAUUAAAACGAAUUAAAAAAAAAUAAUCUAACCCUAAUCUAAAUUUGGGGUUUUCCAAAAAAAAAAUAUCUAAUAUGCUUGAAAUUAACUAAUGACUCUAAAAUAAUAAUCUAGGGGUUAGAAACUUACCUAUAGAGGUUUGUUCUUCAAACCUUAAAAUCUGACCUCAACUUCACGUUCUCUGGAAACUCUCUGCGAACAGGAAUACAAUUCAAAAAAGAACAGGAAGAAGAGAAUUUUCUAUUUAUACCUAGGGUAUUAAUCGUAAGGAGUGUUUGUCUGUUUGACCCCGCAAUCUCAUGGGACACAACGAGGACGUUGUGUCUGCAUGGGGGGUAUUUGUGAUGUCCCACAUCGGAUAGGGGAGGAAGUUCCUGACGCUAUAUAUGUAGAGACUCUUCUUAACCAAGUAGACGCGUUUUAAAGCCGUGAGGGCCCCCUUAGGCCCAAAGCGGACAAUAUCUACAUGGUUGGGUACGGGUCGUUACAAAUGGUAUCAGAGCUGAUCCCCAACCCCGGUGUGGGGGUUUGUUUGGCUUUGUCUGUUUGGCCCCGCAAUCCCAUGGGACAUAACGAGGACGUUGUGUCUCCAUGGGGCGGGGCGGGGGGGGGGGGGGGGGGGGGGGGGGUUUUUUUAUUCCCCCCCCCGAAAGGGGGGAAAGUUUUGGGGGGUUUUUUUUUUAAAACCCCCCUUUACCAAAAAAAACCCUUUUUAAACGGGGGGGGGCCCCUUGGGCCCAAAAGGAAAAAAAAUUAAAUGGGGGGGGGGGGGGGGUUUCCAAAAGGGGGGGAAAAAAGGACCCCAAAAAGGGGGGGAAAAGGGGGCUUUUUUUUGGAAAAAUUUUCCCCGGGUUUUUUUUUUUCCCCCCCCUUUUUAAAAAAUUUUUCCCCCCCUUUUUUUUUUUUUUUUUUUUUUUUUUAAAAAAAAAUUUUUUGGGGCUAACCGUUUUUUUUUUUUUGGUGCGGGGGAAAAAAAAAAAAAAAAAAAAAAAAAAAUUUUGUAUUUUUUGGGGGGGGGGGCCCCCCCUCAAAAGGGGGUUCUUUAAAAAAAUACCCCCCCCGGGGGCCCCUUUUUUGGGGGUUUUUUUNNNNNNNNNNNNNNNNNNNNNNNNNNNNNNNNNNNNNNNNNNNNNNNNNNNNNNNNNNNNNNNNNNNNNNNNNNNNNNNNNNNNNNNNNNNNNNNNNNNNAAAAAAAUAAAUCUACCCGUAAUCUAAAUGAGGGGGUUUCCCCAAAAAAAAAAUAUUUAUUAUGCGGGAAAAUUAAAUAAAGACUCUAAAAUAAUAAAUCUAGGGGUUAGAAAUUUACUUAUAGAGGUUUGUUUUUCAAAACAUUAAAAUAAGACCUCAAUUUCACUUUUUCUGGAAACUCUCUGCGAACAGGAAUACAAUUCAAAAAAGAACAGGAAGAAGAGAAUUUUCUAUUUAUACAUAGGGUAUUAAUCGUAAGGAGUGUUUUUCUGUUUGACCCCGCAAUCUCAUGGGACACAACGAGGACGGGGGGGGGGGGGGGGGGGUGUUUGUGAUAUCCCACAUCGGAUAGGGGAGCAAGUUCCUGGCGCUAUAUAUGUAGAGACUCCUCUUAACCAAGUAGACGCGUUUUAAAGCCGUGAGGGCCCCCUUGGGCCCAAAGCGGACAAUAUCUACAUGGUUGGGUGCGGGUCGUUACAGUAAGGGGGAGAAACAAGGAACCAGAGGAAGGAAGCAGAAGGCUAGCUUAUUCGGUAUACAUUUCCUCUGGUUCUUUUGUUCUCUCCCUCUGUUUAAUAUAAUUCUUACCUCAAUUUAAUUUAAUUCUUAUUGAUUUCUAUAAAUAUAUAUUUUAGGUCUAUACAGUUUCAUUUUUAUUGGUUCAUGUAAAUAUAUAUAUAUAUAUAUAUAUAUAUAUUGUAUAUUUUGUUGAGGUUGCCUGCCCUUCAUAUGAGGGUUCCGUUAACAAUUAUCCGCGUCCUGGACGUCCUUUGGUUGGUGUUUUUUUGGGAGACCGGGGCGGACCAGGAACGGAGAAAGAUUUACACAGUAAGAGAUAGAAACAGGAAAUCGGAGAAAGAAAGCAAUAGAGUAGGUUCAGUGCACAUUUUAUUUCUCUCAUCUAUCUCAUCUAAUUCUUAUUGAUUUCUAUAAACAUAUUUUUUUUAUAUAUAUUUUUAUUAGGUUUGUAUAGUUUCAAUUUGUUAGGUCUUGCUAGUUUUUGGUGAAGGAUAGCUUGCUCGAAGCCGCUUCAAGCAGUACUACUUGGGGGAACCUUUCCAGGUAUGGCGGCUGUACGCUUCUUUUUAUUUUUUAUGAAUUUGCUCCAUUUUAUGCCGAUUUUCUGGGUAUUUAAUUGAUGACUGAUGUGGAAAUUAAGUUUUAAAUGGUUGUUUUUACUGAAUCUGAAUUUGUUUUCAUACUUAACUCUGUUUUGGUUUUCUACUAAUACCUUUUAUUUUCCUCUAAAUACCUAACGUAUGGACUGUUCUUGGUUGGAUACUUGCUAAUCAUGCCACUGCUCUCUGCUUGUCCCACUUACGUUCAAGCACUUGGAUAACACAAUGAAAUGUGGCUUCCUCUAACUGUUUGUCUGUACCACUUUUGUGUUUUACUUUCUUCAUAUCAGAAGAUUAAAAUGAUUUUUGUGCCUUUUCUAUGAUAAAUGAAAAAUAAUUAUUCCCCUUUUUACCCCUAUUUGAUUCAGCGGAUGGUUUGUUUCACGUUCUAUUUUCCAGGGGACCUAAUAAGUUUGAAACUGUUUAUAAUGUUUUGUUUUUCGUAUUUUAGUAUCAACACACCCAACUCUCAUAUAAGGCGUUGCAAUUGAUAGAAUCAAAGGCUGGACAUGGAUCAAAUUGCUGGCCCAAGCAGUAGACGAGGUAUGAAAAGUGUUUGAAAAGUCUGUUUAAAAUUGUCAAGUUGGAAAUAUUUAGUUACCAAGAUAUGAUUAUGAGUUAUUAAAUGGCAAAAUGAAUAAAAAUUCGUAAUUUUGAGGUUUUUCUUUGAUACACUUAACCAUGUAACCUAUAUUUAUGAAAAUCAAAUAAAAUUGUUUGGAAUCUAUUAAACAUUAUGAUUAAAUAUAUUAUAGCUUUGUAUAAUAUAGAUCAACCCAGUUACUCACCAUGUAGCUUAUUAGGGUUUUUAUUUUAUUUAUUUAUUUAUUUAUUGUUAAUUUGAAUUAAAUUAAACUGCCAAAUGCAAUAUAAUUUAAGAUAUUUGUAAGCUCUAUUUGAUAGUAUUAGAGGUUUAUGUAACAUAUUUGUUAACUAAACUACCAAAUGAGGGAUAUUAUUAAUUAUUGCAUUAGGUUAUCUAAUUUAAACUGAUUAUUUUCUCAUGGUCUUGUAGGUUUAGGACAUUUUUAGAUUAUUAUGUCUUACUCUUUAUUUAAUAUUUAAAGGUGUUGCAUAAUUAAUCAAGAUGAGAGAGACAAGUCUUACUCUGUCCAAGAAGAAUUAAUUAGGAUCUAUCUUAUCGUUAAAUGGAUGUUAGGCUUUAAGCAAGAGGGGUGUUAGUAUUGAUUUUAAAGUACUCGUGAGUGAGUCGACGUUUUAGCAUUACCCCAUGCUCAAAGUAGAAUUCUAUGGAAUUCUAAAAUGUUUCUUUUUUAAGAGUUUUUUCUUUCUGGAAAAUCUUAGAUUUUCUUUUUAUAGGUAAAAAGAAAAUCUAAAAUUUAGAGGGUCAUCAGAAUGCACACGAAGCAUAUAAAAAACAUUUUUCGGUUAAGUCAAGGGGAAACAACAAAUACAAUUUGCCCUCGGCCUAAGCCUAAAGCAUAAAAGACCAAGAGAAAACAAAAACCUCGAGAUGACCUUCUUGUAUGCUUGUCGACCAAACUGGUUGCUGUGACCCAACCAUGACAAAAAGAUGAAACAAAAAAAAUGCAUCUUCUACCCUUGACUCUUUCUGAGGCCACAGUUUUUUGAGUUGCGCCAAGAUCCUUGCACUGAAGCCCACUGUCGGCAAGCCCAACGAGUCGGUGAAAGUUUUCGGGUUGCUUGAGGACGGAUUCGCCAUAGACACCCAUGCUCUAGAAACCCAGCCUGGACAUGACCCAUUUGCAUUCACUUGUUCUGAGAAACCGAAAAAUCCAUUUUAGGGGACCGUAAUCAUUUCCUAGAGAAUUAACAGAAAAAACCACCUCACAUCCCUUCGAAUCAAGACCAACCCCAUAAAAUGCAAAAGUUGCUCAUGUCUCCAAGGGAGAAAGAGAGAAAGAAAAAGUACCAGAAUGUCCUACCGCUACUUCCAUAAGGGCAAUUUCUCCAACUGCAGCAAGUGAAGUAGCACUCUCACGUUCUCAACAGCGCAUCUCUCCCGUGGCUUCACCGCUAUCCUCUAGACCAGAAAACGCAUAACUCGAAACGUCAGUAGAAAUAAAUGGUUGUACUUCCCACCACAAUUGAUGGAGAAGCAAGAGAAGUCAUCCACCGCCGUCAAUAUCCCAAGCAUCCUUCUCUCAUCUAAUCUUGCUAAAGCCACGCAAGUAUCCCUAAUCUUUUUUAACGUCUUCGGACUCCACAAGUGCAAAGGAAGCCUUACCACGCUAACCCACACUUCCUUGGCAUGCGCACCUUUUCGACAACAGUCUACCUCGAGGGACGACCUAUCCAAGCGCAAAACCAUUUCCUUAAACCUUUUUACACCACUUGGCAAAACAAUCUCUUUAUCACAGCCAUGAUCAUACUCGAACUAUAGAACAACACCCCUUAGCAAGAUAAUCCUUAUCACCCCUUAGAGACCAAUCAUGACCUACACAACUCCUGAACCCAAGAAAAUCUGGGGUUAGGUAUAGAAAAUCUACCCAUCUCCCUACUAGACAACUACUCAAUUUCUCUAUCCGGGUUGAACCUCCUCAUCAAACUGAAUCCAAAUUGUUUCAUUCACCAAAUCGUGCUCUUUAUAACCAAGUCUACAAUAAACCCCUUCAAUGGAUACACUGAACUAUCCAUGUUCAAAGACCUUGAGGUAGUUGGGUAUGGAAGCCUCAUUUCCUUUGACGAAACUACUCAGAGAAAGUGAAGUUUGUCGGCCGGGAUAGACCCUAUCCCCUAGGAUACUUGUCACGACCCAAAUUCCGGGCGACCCAAAAUUUGACCCAUGACCCCAGGUCAAAGGUUUGACCCUAAGAGUUCCUCCUAUUCCACGUUGGCAGUCAACCAAAACACUCUGGAUUUUUUUUUUAUAUACAUCUCACUAGAAUUCUCAUAAACCACAAUAUCCCAAAACUACUCAAAACAACAAGAUUAAAUAAAUAUUCAUUAGAGUCCAAAAUAAAAUUUCACAAUUAACACUUAAUCAAAAUAAAGCUUCAUAACAAAUCCAUGAGUCAUAAUUACUAAAACAAAUCCAUGAGUCAUAAUUACUAAAACACAAUAACAGAAAAUGUCACGUUCCACUAGGCCGCUCCAGGAGCAUCCUGAAGUCCUCCCUGCCCCACCUGUGGAUCCUCAAGAGAGAUAUCUGCAUCUAAAAAUGUGUAACAAGGAAGGGGUGAGCAUUUCCACAUUGCUCAGUAGGGUGCCUAACACCCAAGGGGUUAAGGGGAUUACUAAGUUUCAAAGAAUACGAAAAGAACACUUCAACACCAUAGGAACAAUUCAACAAUAUCAAUCAAACCACAUAGUUUAAUAUAUAAUUCUAUACACAAUUUCACAAUAUUCAACAAUUACAGGAAUGCACAUGAACGUGUGACACACAGUCAUACAAUGCACUAUUGUUCUCAGGCUUUCACCGAAUGAUACGCGUCCGCACCCAAAUACACUCCCCAUUCGGAGUUGAUUCGUCCCUAGCAGCGGCAGUGGCAAUGGCACCAUCUGAUUCGGGGUUCGAUCCCCGGCAACGGCGCCAUUUGAUUCGUGCCCAAUUGAUGUCUCAGCUGAUUCGUGUCUAGCUGGUGCUCCUUGAUUGAGGGAUUAAUCAACAAAAUUUAUAACCUAUUACACCAUAUACUAGGGUAGCAAAGACAAAGCUACUAUAGCAUAGUGGCUCUAGGAUCGUUCACUGGGAUGGGUUUUCACUUCACAAAUGAUAUUAAUUCAAAGUUGAAUUGGUGCCUUUUCAUUUCAAGGUUAGCUUUAAAAGAAAACAUAAAAAUGUUUGAAUGAAAAAGGUUUGGUUUUACACUAACCAAAAAUAGUAACUGAUUUUACUUACAAAGAAAAGUGUUUCUUGGAGUUCAGAUCACUAGGCUCAGGUUCCUCAUACAAAAAAGAGAGUUCCGGUCACUUGUUUCUUUUCCUCGCAUUAGAGAAUUAACAUAUAGUUCCUUCUCCAACCGGUGUUGUACAGAUGCUUCCCAUUAAUGGGUUCAAACACUAAAUCCCUCUCACUGAUGCACCUUGCAAUGACUCAUACCUCUCACCUAGCACUUGCCAUUCAAGGUGAUCUUUAACCUUGGAUUACCCGUCAAAAGCUCGCAAGAGAUAACUAAUGGAUGUCUCCUUGGAGUCCAAAAGCUUACCAAGUGUUGGCUAUUCUAGAAAAUCCUACCUUCAAGUCACCUCCCAAAGGCUCGCAAUGGGUAAACUAGUGCAUCUCCAUGGACGGAGAUCACUUGCCUUACCAAGUGUUGGCCCAGGUGAUUUAAAGGCGUUUUAAGUUAACUAAAAAGAUAAAAACCAUUAACGGGUUACACUUUCUCUUCAUUAAAAACUAAAACAACAAAACUUCCAAAUUAUGCAUGUGGAAACUUACCCGGCUUUCCUUACUCCAAGAGACAAAAAGCUUAGCCUCUCAUCCUCUUAGGAAAAAUCCUCAGAGUUUGGUUAGCUAGAAAUAAAAAGAAAUGAAAAAUCAAAGAGAAGGAAAAACAGAGCAAGGCUCUGUAUAUUCUAUAUAUUUAUCGAUAUGGAUUACAUGAUACUCUUACAGUGGAUGCAAGGGAAUAUAUAUAGAGACAUUUUUCCAACCUUCCCAACUAAGAAAUCUUAUGGUUGGUGGAUUACAAGGAGAAGAAUGGAAAUUCAUACAAAAAUAUCUGAAGAAAAAUAUCCCAAAGUGUCGGUCACAAAUAUCGGGGUGCUUCAGGAACCAUUUCGCAAGAGAAAAUGGUGUCUGCGAGAUUUCGCAGGCACUCAAGAAGGGUUGCGAAAUUACUUCGCAUCAACAAGCUGAACUCGCACCGCUGCGAAGUUGGAUUUCAUCUUGUGGUGUUUGGCUUCCAUCGCGACGUGAAACUUCAAGAGGAAUUUCAAAACACUGUACAAAAAGGCUGCGAAAUCAUCUCGCAACAAAAGGGUGAUUUCGCAACACUUUGCAAAUUUCUUCCUUCAGCUUGGAGUGAUUGACUUGCAGUGGCUGUAACUUCUUCGUUUCAACUCCAAAUUGCACACCGUUUGAAGCAUUGGAUUCUUGACUUCCUGAGCUUUGAAAUGGUAUAUAGAAUGUACAAAAUUGACUUCGGGAAGUGCUCCAAAAGUGCACAAGAAAACUGCAGCUGUUGUCCUAUGUUUUCUUCACUCUGUUUUUCCUCUCUCCUUGCUUCUCUCCUUGCAUACUUUGAACGACUUUGGCAAAGGGCUAUGGAGCUCCAAAGCUUGGUUCUUCAUUAAUUUGAGCUCUUCAUUGCUUUGCCAUGGAUUCCAAAUAACUCUCCUCAAUCCUGGAUUGUUUUGGUGAUCAAAUUACUAACAAAAACACCAAAACUUACACAAUUUGAUUAGAAAUGAUUGCAAGGGUCCUUAACAUGUUAAUUGGGUUAAAAGGCAAUAACUACUACUCAAAAGUGUUUAAAAGAGUUAAUUACAAGCUAUCAAAUAGCACUUUUUGAGUAGUAAUCAGUCUUCCUGGGGUAACUUUUGGGUCUUUCACCCUAGGGAUCUCUCUCCCUUCUUAAUUCGUCCCACACGACUUUCACUUCUCAUCACUAUUUCUUUUUUUUUUUUUUUUCCAUUUCAUACACUUUUCACAAUCUUCAUAAUUUUAUUUAUUUUCCACAUAACCAUGAUGCAAAUGAAUGCCACAAUUCCAAGGUUCCUCAAUAAUUCAACAAUUUCAACAUUCCCCAAUAAUCCAAUAAAAUAAUUUCACACAUUAAAAUUUCUGAUAAUAUCCCAAAUAAAUAUUCAAAAAUUUGCAUAUCAAAAAUCUUGAAAUUUUACCAUACUUACGGAAUUUUUCAACCAUUAUAAUAAUUUCUAAUAUUCGAAAUUAACUAACUUUCUAUCAUAAAAAUUCCAAAAAUUUUCUAACUAAUGCCUAAAAAUUCACCAAUUACUAUUUUUGAAAUUUAGCCCUAAUUUUGGAAUUUUUCAACCCUUCAAAUAAUUUUUUUACAAUUCAAAACAAUUAAUUAUCAAUCAAAAUCAAUUUCCCGCAAUUACAAAAAUUCCAAACAAAUUCCAAAUAUUCUAGAAAAAUUCAUACAAUCCCCAUAAUUCCUAAUUAACUCAUAAUGACAAUAUUUACAAUUUUUUUCAAGGGAAAAACAUAAAAAUUUAAGUUUUAAGGUUAGGGUCCCCUACCAAAGAUCUAAGAAUUCAGCUGCUAAAAAUACAAUUGGCCACUGUAUGAUUGUUCCCCUCGUCGAGUAGAACACACCCUCCAAAUCUGAGUUGAAACGGAGGUCGUUUGACCACCCAAACGACCGGUCAAAGCUCCGGCGAGGUGAGAUUUUCUAUAGUGCCGCUGCCCCUUUUCUCCCAGAUCUGCUACUGUUCCCUUCUUUUCCACUUAAGCCCAUUUCUUUUCAUUUUAAUCCACUUACCAAACAGCCCACUCAAGCCCAACCCAAGUUCAAAAUAAACCCAAUAACUAACUCCCAUUUUUCUUUUAAAACCCUAUUUCAUCCAAGCCCAAAUUACUCCAUUUUCAUUUUUUUUUUUCUUUUCUCUUUAUUUUUAUAAAACACACAAUUUAAUAUUUUUCUCAAUUUUUUAUUAAUAAGGAAUUUAAUUUAAUUAACUAUUAUUUUUUUUCUAAUUAAUUUUAAUUAAUUAACUUUUCAUUUUUGUUUUCGUUUUUUUUUCUUUUCCGGAAAUUCCCAAUUACUAAAAUCCUAAGAAAUUUCCACCCUAAGGCUGACAUGGCAUAAAAUUUUCAACUCACCUAAUUGACCAACACAAUAAACUGAAUUUCACCAAUCCAAAACUAACACCUGUUCUUCAGGCACUUUUCUUUUUGACUUUUCAACCAUCAUUUAAAAUAAGACUUUUCAAACUAAAAAUGCUAACGUGACAUAAAAUACCCGGUCAUUACAUCCUACCCCCCUAAAAGAAAUUUCGUCCCGAAAUUUAAACUAGCUUACCUUAAAAUUCAUAGAAGAGUUGCGAAUAGUGUCGUCUCAUUUCUUCCUCAGGUUCCCAAGUGGCUUCUUCUAUCCCAUGGUGUUGCCACCACACUUUGACUGCAGGAAUCACCUUGUUCCUAAACCUAUGCUCUCCAACUUCCAGAAUUCGUAAAGGUUCCUCCACAUAAGAAGUAUUUUCACUAAUCUGAACAUCUUGCAAAUCCACUACCCAAGUUGGAUCUGGAGUACACUUCCUUAGCAUUGACACAUGGAAAACAUCAUGCACAAGGGACAACUGUUGAGGCAAAAUUAACUUGUAUGCCACUGUGCCAACUCUCUUAUCAAUCUGAAAUGGUCCCACAAACCUAGGGGCUAACUUCCCCUUCUUCCCAAAUCGAAAUAUGCCUCUUCGAGGGGACACUUUUACAAACACCCAAUCCCCUUCCUCAAACUCCAAGGGUCUUCUCCUUUUGUCUGCAUAACUUUUCUGUCUAUCUUGGGCAGUCUUAAGUUUUUCCUUGAUGAGUUGUAUCUUCUCUGUAGUCUCUUAGACAAUCUCAGGUCCCAACAAACGACUUUCACCCAUCUCUAUCCAACACAAGGGCGACCUACAAGGUCUCCCAUAAAGUGCUUCAUAAGGUGCCAUGCCAAUACUAGAUUGGUAACUGUUGUUAUAAGCAAACUCUACUAAAGGUAAGUAAUCUGCCUAAUUUCCUCCAAAAUCCAAAACACAAGCCCUUAACAUGUUUUCUAAGAUCUGGAUCACUAUUUCUGAUUGACCAUCUGUCUGAGGGUGAAAAGCGGUGCUAAAAUUCAGUUGAGUGCCCAAAGCCCUUUGUAAACUCUGCCAAAAUUGAGAAGUAAACUUAGGGUCCCUGUCAGACACUAUAGAUACAGGUAUCCCAUGCAAUCUCACAAUCUCCUGUAUAUACAACUUAGCCAAAGAGUUCAUGGAAUCAGUAGUUUUCAUGGCUAGAAAAUGAGCUGACUUAGUAAGACGGUCCACAAUCACCCAAACUCCAUUUUUCUUGCUUUUAGUUCUUGGCAACCCUAUCACAAAGUCCAUAGUGAUAUUAUCCCACUUCCACUCAGGUAUAGGUAAAGGUUGCAACAAUCCUGCAGGCCUCUGGUGUUCAGCCUUCACUUGCUGACAAAUCUGACAAUUAGCUACAACCUGAGCAAUAUCUCUCUUCAUCCCACUCCACCAAAACUGUCUCUUUAAGUCUUGAUACAUCUUGGUAUUCCCAGGAUGGAUGGUAUACUUCGCCCUAUGAGCAUUUGCUAGAAGUUCAUUUCUCAACUCCACAUCUUUUGGCACACACAAUCUCCCUUUGAACCUCACACUCCCAUCUUCAUACAUAGACCAAUUUUCAUCUAUUUCACCUGCUACCAACUGGGCUUUAACCUUUUCUAAAAACUCAUCAUGAACUUGGGCCUCCACUAUUCUCUGGAUAACCAUUGGUCUAGCUGAUAUACUGUACAAGCAUGGACCAUGCCCUUCCAAACCAAGACAUAAUUCAAAAUCCUCAAUAACUGCAUGCAUCUCAAACUCUCUCAACUCCAAGCUAGACAACUGGCCAACACUCUUCCUACUCAAGGCAUCUGCUACAACAUUCACCUUUCUUGGAUGAUAAUGAAGAGCAAAAUCAUAAUCUUCCAAUGUCUCCAUCCAUCUCCUUUGCCUAGAGUUCAGAUCCUUUUGAGUGAAAAUAUAUUUCAAACUCUUGUGAUCAGAGUACACCUCAAACUUCUCUCCAUACAAAUAGUGUCUCCAAGUCUUAAGGGCAAACACCACUACUGCAAGCUCCAAAUCAUGUGUUGGAUAAUUCCGCUCAUGCUGCUUUAACUGUCUUGAGGCAUAAGCUACCACCUUGCCUUGCUGCAUUAGCACACACCCUAGCCCCACUGUGGAAGCAUCACAAUAAAUUGUAAACAACUCUCCACUAAUAGGAGCAGUUAACACUAGAGCAGUGGUCAAUUUCCGCUUCAACUCCUGGAAAGCAUUCUCAUACUCCUCAUUCCAAUCAAACUUCACCCCAUUUCUAGUCAACCGAGUCAUUGGUACUGCAAUUCUAGAGAAGUCUUCCACAAACCUCCUAUAAUAUCCAGCCAACCCCAAGAAACUUCUAACCUCAAAUACAUUGGUAGGCCUUUGCCACUCCUAAACAGCUUCCACCUUGGAAUGGUCUACUGCUAUUCCUGCCUCAGAAACCACAUGGCCUAAGAAAUUCACUUCAGUAAGCCAAAACUCACUUUUUUCCAACUUCCCAUACAACUGAUGUCUUCUUAAAGUUUUAAGAGUGGUCACCAAAUGCUGUUUAUGCUCCUCCAAACUCCUAGAGUAAAUCAAAAUGUCAUCCACAAACACAAUCACAAACUGAUCUAAGUAAGCAUGAAAUACUCUGUUCAUUAAAUCCAUGAAAGCAGCGGGGGCAUUAGUUNNNNNNNNNNNNNNNNNNNNNNNNNNNNNNNNNNNNNNNNNNNNNNNNNNNNNNNNNNNNNNNNNNNNNNNNNNNNNNNNNNNNNNNNNNNNNNNNNNNNUUAGUGUGCCAUCCUUCUUCUUCACAAACAACACUGGGGCUCCCCAUGGCGACGUACUCGGACGAAUAAAACCUUUACCCAACAAUUCAUCCAACUGAGUUUUCAAUUCCUUCAACUCAAGAGGGGCCAUCCUAUAAGGGGAUACUGAAAUAGGAUCAGUUCCUGGGAAUACUUCAAUAAAGAAAUCAAAUUCUCUAUGAGGUGGUAAACCUGGAAACUCAUCUGGGAAUACAUCUUGAAACUUUCUCACCACUGGAAUUUCUGCAAUGUCCUUCUAGGCUUUCUCCUUACCACGAAGGUAAGCUAGGAAAUUUAUUGAUCCCUUCCUCAACACAUACUGAUAGCACGGAUUGGAUUGCGAAAAAAGCAAACUAACACACUUUCCUCCAACAAAGCAAACCUCAAAUCCCUCUGGCAGACAAAAUAUUAUCCUGCGGCGAUGACAAUCAAUAAUUGCUCUAUACACUGCCAACCAAUCCAUUCCCAAGAUAACAUCAUACCCAGUCAUAUCUAAAAUCCUCAAAUCCACAUUAAGUGCUAUAUCCACCAAGGUAAUAACGCACCCCUUGCAUAUUCUAUCAACUUUAGAGUUCGUACCCAUAGGGGAUUCAAUAAGUAACAAAUUCUCUACCCUUUCUGAUUUCAACCCUGAUGCAUUAGCACAAGAUAUAGAAAUGAAAGAAUGAGUUGCACCAGUAUCAAACAAAACAUGCACCCAAGUACUAUAUACCAAAAUCAUACCUUCCACCAAGAGAGCGUCCUCCUCUGACUCUGUUGGGGUCAAGGCAAAAACUCUCCCAGCUGUCUGCCUUCCCCUACCUCUAGCAUUCGACCCCUGAGAAGAGCGGGUCUGACUCGUGGUAGCUGUCCUAGUUCCCUGUGCUGCUGGGGGUAAUUGUGGCAUCUGAUAGUAAGGCAACUGAAACUGAGGGGGCUGGAAAGGCACUACUGACUGUUAUUGAGAACUUCCCUGAGACUGAGGUCGAGCCUGCUGUGCACCUUGCACUGGGCAAGCCCUCCAUAAAUGGUCUCCUGCUCCACAACCAUAACAUACUCUAUUAGCAGCUGCCCUCUGAGCAAUCUGCCCCCCUCCUGCAUAGAACGAGGGACGCCUCUCAAACUGCUAAGUCCUCUGCCUCUGCUGUGGCCCUUGGGAACUUUCCCUCAUUCUUUGUUUCCCUUUUCUGUCCCCCUUUUGCUCUCGAAUUUGGUUAGUUUCGUCAAUGUCCUGCUCCACCAACAAAGCCCUCUUAACCAACUCAGAAUAGUCCCUUAUUGCCAAUGGGACUAAUCUAUUCCUAAUAGCAGGCCUCAACCCCUGCUGGAACCUUCUAGCCUUUUCUCCUUCCUCCCCGAUCAUCCCCAAAGCAAAUCUAGACAACUCCGAAAAGCGUGACUCGUACUCCAGCACCGACAUGGUUCCCUGGAUGAGGUGCUCAAACUCCAUCCUCUUGGCAUGCUUAGCCACCUCCCCAAAAUACUUGCCUAGGAAGAUUCUCUCAAAUUCCUCCCAGGUCAUAACCUCAGUGUCAUACACCCUUUUCAUUGAUUCCCACCAGAAAUCAGCUUUAUCAACAAGCAUAUAUGUUGCUAGACCUACCCUUCUUUCCUCAGGUAUGUCCAGUCCCACCAGAAUUCUUCUCAUCCUCCUCAACCAAUGCUCAGUUGCUUCAGCAUUGGGCUCUCCAUUAAAAGAUGGAGGUUGCAUCACCAUGAACCUCUUUAUUGCUUCCAUUUGGCUCAUUACUGGCCUCUCAGUGCGGUUCCUCCUAUGUGAGUGGCCUGAAUCCUCAUGGCCCUGGGUACCUCCUGAUCUCCUGGAACCCUGGCCUCUCAUCAAUUCAACAGUUUCUCUCAACUCUCUUCUUACUUCUCGGAGUUCUUCUCUUACCGUCUCCAACUCCUCAUUCCUCUCUGAUCUUCCUCCUCUGGUCCUUCCCGCCAUUUCAAGUUUAACAAACCCUAAUUCAAUCACAUUACUAAGGUGAGCAAAAAUAAAUUUCACAUAUACACACUUAGCAACUUCAACAAUUAUCAAAACUUUCACUUUCAUACACUCAUAAUACAUAAUUCAAUUAAUCAUCAACUAGUUAAUUAACACAUACAAAAAUCAUAACAUUACAACACACAUAAACACCCAAGGUAUUAUUGCAACCUUGGCUCUGAUACCACGCUGUCACGACCCUAAUUCCGGGCUACCCAAAAUUUGACCCGUGACCCCAGGUCAAAGGUUUGACACUAAGGGUUCCUCCUAUUCCAUGUUGGCAGUCAACCAAAACACUUUGGAUUUUUUUUUUUUUUAUAUAUACAUCCCACUAGAAUUCUCAUAAACCACAAUAUCCCAAAACUACUCAAAACAACAAAAUUAAAUAAAUAUUCAUUAUAGUCCAAAAUAAAAUUUCACAAUUAACACUUAAUCAAAAUAAAGCUUCAUAACAAAUCCAUGAGUCAUAAUUACUAAAACAAAUCCCAAAAUCCAAACAAAAAACACAAUAACAGAAAAUGUCACGCUCCACUAGGCCGCUCUAGGAGCAUCCUGAAGUCCUCCCUGCCCCACCUGUGGAUCCUCAAGAGAGAUAUCUGCAUCUAAAAAUGUGUAACAAGGAAGGGGUGAGCAUUUUCACAUUGCUCAAUAGGGUGCCUAACACCCAAGGGGUUAAGGGGAUUACUAAGUUUCAAAGAAUACGAAAAGAACACUUCAACACCACAGGAACAAUUCAAAAAUAUCAAUCAAACCACAUAGUUUAAUAUAUAAUUUUAUAUACAAUUUCACAAUAUUCAACAAUUACAGGAAUGCACAUGAACGUGUGACACACAGUCAUACAAUGCACUAUUGUUCUCAGGCUUUCACCGAAGGAUACGCGUCCGCACCCAAAUACACUCCCCAUUCGGAGUCUUCCCGGGGUAACUUUUGGGUCUUUCACCCUAGGGAUCUCUCUCCCUUCUUAAUUCGCCCCACACGACUUUCACUUCUCAUCACUAUUUUUUUUUUUUCCAUUUCAUACACUUUUCACAAUCUUCAUAAUUUUAUUUAUUUUCCACAUAACCAUGAUGCAAAUGAAUGCCACAAUUCCAAGGUUCCUCAAUAAUUCAACAAUUUCAACAUUCCCCAAUAAUCCAAUAAAAUAAUUUCACACAUUAAAAUUUCUGAUAAUAUCCCAAAUAAAUAUUCAAAAAUUUGCAUAUCAAAAAUCUUGAAAUUUUACCAUACUUACGGAAUUUUUUAACCAUUAUAAUAAUUUCUAAUAUUUGAAAUUAACUAACUUUCUAUCAUAAAAAUUCCAAAAAUUUUCUAACUAAUGCCUAAAAAUUCACCAAUCACUAUUUUUGAAAUUUAGCCCUAAUUUUGGAAUUUUUCAACCCUUCCAAUAAUUUUUUUACAAUUCAAAACAAUUAAUUAUCAAUCAAAAUCAAUUUCCCGCAAUUACAAAAAUUCCAAACAAAUUCCAAAUAUUCUAGAAAAAUUCAUACAAUCCCCAUAAUUCCUAAUUAACUCAUAAUGACAAUAUUUACAAUUUUUUUUCAAGGGAAAAACAUAAAAAUUUAAGUUUUAGGGUUAGGGUCCCCUACCAUAGAUCUAAGAAUUCAGCCGCUAAAAAUAUGAUUGGCCAUCGUAGGAUUGUUCCUCUCGUCGAGUAGAACACCCCCUCCAAAUCUGAGUUGAAACGGAGGUCGUUUGACCACCCAAACGACCCGUCAAAGCUCCGGCGAGGUGAGAUUUUCUAUAGUGCCGCCGCCCCUUUUCUCCCAGAUCUGCUACUGUUCCCUUCUUUUCCACUUAAGCCCAUUUCUUUUCAUUUUAAUCCACUUACCAAACAGCCCACUCAAGCCCAUUUCGUUUCCUCUUAAACAGCCCACUCAAGCCCAACCCAAGUUCAAAAUAAGCCCAAUAACUAACUCCCAUUUUUCUUUUAAAACCCUAUUUCAUCCAAACCCAAAUUACUCCCUUUUCAUUUUUUUUUUAUUUUCUCUUUAUUUUUAUAAAACACACAAUUUAAUAUUUUUCUCAAUUUUUUAUUAAUAAGGAAUUUAAUUUAAUUAACUUUUUUUUUUCUAAUUAAUUUUAAUUAAUUAACUUUUCAUUUUUGUUUUCGUUUUUUUUUUCUUUUCCGAAAAUUCCCAAUUACUAAAAUCCUAAGAAAUUUCCACCCUAAGGCUGACAUGACAUAAAAUUUUCAACUCACCUAAUUGACCAACACAAUAAACCGAAUUUCACCAAUCCAAAACUAACACGUGUUCUUCAGGCACUUUUCUUUUUGACUUUUCAACCAUCAUUCAAAAUAAGACUUUUCAAACUAAAAAUGCUAACGUGGCAUAAAAUACCCAGUCAUUACAAUACUUCUUCCUUGAGGGAAGCUCAAGGUGAACCUUUUAGUCUCCACACAACAAAUCAAGCAAAUAAUGAACCCAUCUGCCUCAUAAGAGCUUAGUUCCAGUGUAAACUCUGUCUCGUCUUCCACCCAUGUUUUGUUGCACAAAUUUUCAUCCUCAGACCUAUAACAAGCUUCCACAUCUUCCAACAAACAACACAAGUUCCUUUUCCCACACCUGAUCCACCUGGACACACCUCUGCAUCUCUCCAAAAUUCUCUUUUAGUUUCCCUCCAAACGUCUCUAUUAAGAUAUCAAAUGACUUUGAUCCUAUUGCAAAACAACACCUACCAUUUCUCGUCUCUCAUUGUAUAUUGUCUGGGAAGAGUAUAAAUGUGGAAAGCGUUUUUUGCUUGUCCCACAUAGGAAAAAGUGGAACACUUUUAGUGGGUUUAUGCCCACUCGCCUUAGCCUAAUGGGCCUUUGAGUGGGAAAAGCUCGCAUGCUCAUGGGGUCGAAUCCCAUUUGAGUGGGUUUUUAAUGUUCACUUUCUCUCCUCCUUCCUUCCUGUGUACGGGUGCGUUAUUCGCUAAUUUUUAUUUGUUACUCUUUUACUUUUUGUCAACUCUUUGGGAAGAACCCUAGAGUUCCAAUGAGAUUGUACUAGUAGAUGUCUUGUAACAUUUACAACUAGACUCUUGUUCUAUUUACAAGUAGAGUCUUAUUCGGAAUGUCAUGCAUUCGAGUAAGAGCAUUUGCCUUUCUUCUCUAUGUAAAUAAAAGGUUGGAAUGAUUUCAAGACCCUCAACAAAAGAAUGGAUUAAGGUGACAUUUUUAUUCGCUAUGAAAAAUAGUUUUGUUGUUUUUUUUUUUUUUUGUUUUUGUCGCUAAUAAAUUUUGCUCAUUAAGUUCUUGUUUGAUGUGCCCUUGUUAGAACACUAUAAUAGUUGUUCUUUUUGGGUUAAUGGUCUCAAUCAUGAAUUGAUAAAAUUUCAUAUCCUUUUUCUUUUGGAUUCCAAGCUCGGUUUUUUCUUAAUCAUUGUGGAAGACGAAGCGGUUCGCUAGCCUCUACAUCUAUAGAUCCUACGUAAUAAUUAAACUUGGUGGUGGCUCGUUGUUUGAUGAGUGAUUCCUUGAUCACUAGAUCUCGAGAUUCCACCUUAUUCUUGGUUGAUUGGCAUUCUUGUAAGCUAAUCUUGCAUACUAAUUCUAGGGGUCCUAGGUGAUGCACCAACCAAAGAAUGUUUAUUCCCUUAGCCAUAAAACAUGAGAUUGGCAAUGCUUGUUGCUCAUUAGUCUGUCAUUAAUAAGAUUUCUAGCUAUUGUUUUUAUUUCACUUACAAGUAAAGUCUUGUUCUAUGUUAGUGACAUAUAAAACUAAGACACUCCUCACUUUCCAAACACCAAUUUUUUGAAGAGUUUUUCAUAGCACUUUUCAUACAUCUAUGUAGAGGAAAUUUUCAAAGCUUAAGCUAUCCAUGACCUUUCUAAAAAGUGCACGCCCAGUGAGAUUCACUAGCAUUAAAUCUUGGAGGUAUAAUAUUAAUACCUUAAUACAUUGGGUUUGUCUUUGAGAUGGUUGGAUUUUUUUCAAGGAUAGAGCUUGUCAUGCCUUAGCUCAUAACCAAUAAGUUUUCUUGUUAUUCGUUUUAUUCUUUUUGUGUUUUUUACGUAAGUCCUUUGUUUUCAUACCCUUGGUAAACUUUUUAGCAAUGUUUUAUUUUGAAUACCAUAAGUUCUUCUCCCAUUCUCUUUACUGCAAACUUUGACAAAAAAAAAAAGGUUUUGCCCAAACUUUUAGAAGUUUUCUAUUUCAUUCCUAGGUGUGUGAGAGAGAUUUGUAACUCUCAAGUAAGAUUUAGGGAUAAGAGCUAUCAUGAGAAUUUGUACACUAAUGGUUUUAUAGUGGACUUAAGUUUUGUGAUGUCUGGUAGUUUUUACAUUGGCAUAAUCUUUUGGACAACUUUAAAUUAAUAUUCUCAUAAACUUUAUUAUCAUAAAUAUUUUGGGCUAAAGGGAAGUAAAUGCUGUAAAAAAUGUUAGUGUUGCACAAUUUAUUUUACUAUAACUGUAAGUAACUGAUUUAUUUUACUUAAUGUGAAUAUAAUGGGGCUCACGGUUGCCAUUUUGGAUAUGUUGGUUCUAUGAUAGUAAGGUUAGGAAGGCAACCAAAUAAUGAUGUCUCAAACAAAAAAUGUUCAAAAUUAUAUCAUGCCUUGUUUAAUUUAUAAAAAUAAAUAAGUAAAUGUGUUUUUAUGUUAGCUAUAUUGAAACGGUAAUCAAGAUAUGGAAUUAGUCUCUUGGACGGACUAUAAUGUAAAACCAAAGACAAUUCUAAUAGAAAAAGCACUGUCACAUUCCAAUCAAAAUUUGAACACUCCAUCCGCAAAUGAAAAGCUAACAUGUCCCAAGAUUAUAAAGUCAUUAUUGGUUUCGGAUGCCAAUGGUUCUAAGCCUUGUGUCUUCCCUAUAAACUAAAAUUGAUGUCUUUUAGUCCUUACUAUGUGACAAUCCCAGUCUUGUGCAUGGAGAAAGGAUCAAGCUUCAAUUGGUAGCACGGUUUGUAGAGGUGUAUGCGCAACUUGCAGAUGAGAUCGUACUCUUAUGGGUGGAAUAGCGCAUAGUGUUGCUGGUUGAUCUGCCAGUGAACUAGCUUGUAGAAUCACGAGUGUUGAUAGUCAAUCUAUCGUACAACCUGAAUCUCUUUAAGCUAAUAAUCUUAUGGCUUUUUAUGAUAUUACGCUGGUGGAGAAAUAUUUUGUUUAAGAAUUCAAUAUGAUGUUUCUAGUGGAUUGGUGUGCUUGAAUGUUGUGCAUUGUCAAUGUUUGCUUUAAUUGUCGUAAUUGGAGUGAAUUUUGGGGAAUCAGAUAGUAAGAAAUGAGCCUUUUGCAUGGGAAGGCAAUGCUGCUGGAGAACCAAAUUUCCUUUGAAGUUAGCGAUAGAGUGAUAGUGGUGUUUUCAUUCUUGCAAAAAUUGAAGAAUUUUUGGUUUGUCGUGAUCAUGCAAAUUAUUAAUGGGAAACAUAAUCGAAAGCUUGAUGGAAGGUGGAUGCCAACCAAUGGUGGAUAGUAGGGACCAAAUGAUUGUGAUGUGUAUAGGUAUAAGCAUCUGCUUGAUCUAUACCAAAGUAUAAAAUUGAUGGUAUAGGAUCAUUCGGAGAUUUGGUCCUAGAGUUUAUGGUCUUAUCAUUUGAAGAUGAAAACGACCAGUUGUGGUCGUUGGAAUCUACAUGAAGCAUAGUCCUACAAGUUAUUAUUUUAACAUUAUUAAGUUAUUAAUGAAUAAAAUAUUUAUUUAUAAUAUUUUCUGUAUAUCAAUUUAUAUUUGUUGAAAUAAUAUUAGAUUUUUUAGCUUAAAAAAAAUGUAGUCACAAUUGUGAAGUGAGGGUUUAGUUAAAAAAAUGGAGUCUCUAUUAACAAUUGUGGUUUCAAUUAAAAAAUGAAGACUCGUUGUCAGUACGGUUUUAAAAAUUGAAUUGGAUUGGUUGGUUGGAAUGUCGGUCAAUUUGAAUGGUUCAAACGUCCUUCGGUCGCCGUUUUGUUUGGUUCAAACGUCCUUCGGUCGCCAUUUUGUCUAGUUCGGUCAUUUAAGAAGGAAAGUGUUUGAAGCAGAAUUAGGCUAGUUAAAUUGGUGGUUGGAUCAUCGAAUAAAUCAAAGGGUUCCCUUCGAAUCGUACGAGUGAAUAUUUUUUUGUUUUUUUUCCAUUGUUGUCGUCUCUCGUCAGUUGGACCCCCACCUUGCGCUGGAAAAGCCCCCUCUUGCCGUCCCCGUUGCUAGAAAAGCACUUUGUGUUGCAAAGUCACCACCCUCGUGACGUUGUUGAGACCUCGCACCCCACGCCUCAUCUUAUUGUUCCUCGCCAACAGAACCCCCACCACCCUGUAAAGCCGUUGCCAUCUUCACCCUGGAAACCCCAUCCUCUAGGAGAGAAGGAAUUCUUAAAAGGAGAGUUUAUAGAGAGGGGAGAGGAGGGGGGAGAGAGAGAGAAGAAGCGUGCAGUGACAGCACAGAGAUUUUGUAUCAGACGGAGUAGAAAUGAGGGAGGUGAGUUCACUUUUCAAAUAUUAAAUUUAAUUUUCUCAUUCUUGUCUUCAAUAUACGUGUUAUUAUAUUUUGUAUCUUGAUUUUACAAAACAUUAUUCAGUUACAGAAAGAGAAAUGGGAAAAGUUUUAUUAUUAACACAAGUUUCAUUUGUUACAUCUAAUAUAUUUUUUAUACAUGGCUUAUUUUGACUAAAAACUCCCUUGAAACAGUGUAGAGAUAUCUAGCGGUAUUCUUUCUGACUAUCUCAUUCUCCUCGUAACAAAUAACAAUGGCAGGGAACAUGGUCAUCCUUCAAAUGGAGGAGCAGUGGGAAUCAUUCCCGGUUGGUAGUGAUCAUAUGAGAGCCUUGAUUGAUUUAAAAUCCAGAUUUCAUCGACUAGAACUUGAAGUGGAAUCUGAAUCUUCGUUAUCAUCAAGUGUAAAGCUGCAAUGUCCUAAAUUGGAACAUAGAUUUGGUUGAGUUAUCAAUGGUGAUGGGAGGAAUUCUCAGGCAUGCGGUGGUCUCAUUUAAACUUAAAGAAAUGUCCCUCAUGUGACAUGUAAGACUGCGCUUGAUGCGGAUUCCAACGUCCAUCAAUUCCUUCUCAUUUCUAAAUGAUGUCAUAACCUCUCUGACAUCUCUAAUUGAUGCAUAUCUAGCAUACAACCAAUCCAACUAUCCAAUAACGAAGGACCUUCCAAAUUUUUCAUUUUAACGAUGCGUUGGGCUGCUAGAAUGUUCAUCACCUAGGAUAAUUCUUCGGAAGAGAUCGAGUAGACGAUGACAAGGCUUUGACUCGUUCUUAGGACUUUGCGACUUCAAUUUGGGGCCAAUAAUUUUGUUGUAUGGGAAGAACAGGCUGGGGUAAUAAUUCUUCAUUUUUUGCAGCAAGGACUCCCUCGUACCUAUAAAUUCCUGUAAUAUUGACUCGUCGUUAAUGCCGAAGAAUUCCUGGAACACUGGCAUCCAAAAAAAACCCACCGCUCCUGAACUCACCUUCUUCAUCAGCUUCAAAAAAUAAUUUUUAAAUAUAAAGUUAAAUAGAUAACUUAUUCUUAAUCUUAAACAUAUUUUCUUUCAUUUGUCCAUAUUUAAUAAAAACAUAUUUUAUAACUAUGACUUUACAUCCAUAAAUUAUUUUUUUAUACAACAUAUUAUAUAAUUAUGUUAUACAUUUAAAAUACUUUAAACAUAGAUAUUUAACAAAUACAUUUAUAACUUAAGAUGAAUAAAAGUAAAUAUAAGUUUAAAUUAAUGAACAAAUAUUAUUUAAAAUUAAUGAGAAUAAAUACGAUUAAUUUAAUUAUUUAAAAUAAAUUUUAAGUUAAUUUUAUUCAAUAAUCUUAAUAUUUAAAUUUAAAAAUAAGUUUUAAGUCAAUAUUAACUUAAAUUGUUAAGUAAUAGUAAUAAGUUUUACCCAACAUCUUUUUAAUUAUUGAAUUCAUAUUUCUUUUAUCAUUUCUCUUAUCCAAUUAAAAUUAUUAGAAAUCCAUCCAUUUAUGUUUUCUAUUUAAUCUCUUUAGCAAACUCGUCAUGUUUGAGUAGUUAAAUUAAAUCUUAUGUUUCCUCUCUCUUUGGGAUUUGAGAAAAAAAAAUCGAUAAUUUUAAAAAACAUUUAUUAAAAUAUGAUAGUUUUAAAAAUAUUUUAAAAUUUAUAAUAGCAAAGCAAAAAUCCAAUUGGAAAUAUUUUUGAAGCACCAUAUUUUAAUAAAUAUUAAAAAAUGGUUUUUUUUUUCCCCUCAAAAUCCCCAUCUUGGCUCUUGAGCAUUGCCCUCCCACUUCUAGUUAAUUUGUAACCACAUGUUUCAAUUUUGUUUAUUGAUGAGACAUUUCAAUAAUAUCCGAAUUGCCUUCACAGGUUUGGACGUUUCUUUGCCUUGUAUCUCGGCUAAGGAUAAUCUAGUUUUUUCUUAUCAUGUAUCACGUAAUGUUAUGGGAAAUUGUCUUAAACAAAAAUAUUGUUCAACAUUUAAUAUCCAUUAGACUUAAUUUCAUUCACCUUCCCUUAGAUUUUUGUUAAUACAUUUUAUUCUUAUAAAUUAAAAUUUCAUCAAAUAUAUAUUUUAUUUCUUUUUAUUUUUUAUUUUCACUCACCUUCUUUCUCAUUUAAAAUAAAUAAAGUAUUUGAUAAAAUUUCAAACUUAUAAAUACCAGAUAAAACUAGUCAAAACCUCAAGAAAAUGAAAUUAACUCAAUCCCAUUGUAAAUUCUCGUAUGAUUAAAUAUUAAGAUGAAUACGACAUAUCUUUAAGAUGAGUAUAAAUAAAUAUAAUAUCAAAUUAUAUAUAAAAAGGAUAGUUUAAAUUAAAUAAUCAAUUUAAUUUUCAAAUAAAAUGAUUAAUGUCAUUUUAACAUAUACGUGAUAUCGACUCCUACAUGUAUGGUUUAAUUUAAUGUUACCCACAUAGCUAUUCCAAAAUUAAAAUUUUUACUUACCCCUACGAUGUUAAGGCGGAGUAAUUGAUCAUACAAUGCAUAAUAAUUAUUUUCUUCAUUAGAUUAAAUAAUACAAAUUACAUAUACGAAUGAGAUUAUUUAGAUGGGAUUUCUAAUUAAUGAUCCAGCUUAGGUGUGAACUUAAAUUAUGUGUUUGUUGGAAACCCUUGUGAUGGAAUAAAAUUUCAUCCUUUUAUACUUGUAUUUAUUUUUUUUGAAGAACAAGUUUGACUUUUCCUUUAUAAUAAACAUUAAGUCUUUUUUUAAAGGGUAAAUAAGACUUUAAUAAUGUUAAUUGUUAAGUGAAGUGUGAACAUCUCCUCCAUGUGAACAACUGGAGCAUCUUUUACCUACAACUUAUAUGUAUUGUCUCGUUGUUCACAUGAAACAAUAAAUAGUGUAAGUCAAAUUCUCAUUACAAAUAUAAAAUUGCAUUAAUUCUCUAUUAUUAUUAAUCUUGGAUAUUGCACCAACAAAAACUGAGAUUAUAAUUAAAUAAAUCCAAAUCAGACAGCACUGAGCCUCUUUGUUGUCAUUUUUUUCAACCUUGGUGCCAAUCAUAAGUCCGGUAUUAAUUUAAUCAUGAUAUGAUCUUGAUUCAUUGAUUACAAUAUAGUUUAUUUGUGGUAGAAUUUUGGGAAAAUUAAUAUAAAAAAUAUGUGAGGAGGAAUCUUUUAUGGAUGGUUCAGGGAGAAGAGGCAAAUGAAGAUGUCCCAGAAAUGAAUUGGUGAUCAAAUAAUCCAAGAAAAAAAGCAUCAAAUCUAUGAUAUGUAUAAUGAAAGAUGUAUUUAAGUAAAUAAAUAAGCUCGUGUUAGGCAUGAACCCUUCCCAAAACCAAGGAGACACGCAUUAGCCUAUUUUAUGUGCUUCACUUGCUGUAUAUUAGUAGGUGUAUGAAUAGAUUAAUCUUUCUGAAGAAAAAAAAAAAAGAAAGAGAAGAAGACUUGAGUGCUCCUUUUUAAAUGACUUUCCCUUUGGAUAUCGUUAUAUCAACAAGGACUAGCUGACAGCAGCCUGUUGCUUACUCGAUUGGAAUUAUGGAGCUUGCAUGCAAUGAGCUGGUGAUUCAUAUUUCACAGGUCUGAUGUGGAUGAACUUUUUUCUUUCUUUUCUUUUAAUAAAUGAUAAGAAUAUCUCACUUAUAAAACAAAAAGAGAAAAUUAGACUAUGCGUGGAAACUAUUCUCAACAAUAAUUUUUUGUUUUUUAAACAUAAAAAAAAAAAUAUGAAAACACAUUUGCCUGUAAUUAUUUCUAAAAUAGGUUACUGAUGAUAUCUUUUAAUUAUUUUUGGUUAAUUUUAUUUUUUAUUUAGAGCUAUUUUUAAAUGUAAUUUUAGAAAUAUGAAAAAUGAUUAAAAUAUAUAAAAGGGUACAUAAAAGAAUAUUUUGAAAACAUAGAAAAUAAAUUGACAAUAUUUAAAAUUACCAAAGAAGCUUUUAUUAUACCAUCGUAAAAUUAUUUUUGAUAAUUAAUCUCAAAAACCAUCUUUUUAUAACUAUUUUGAAAAAUAUUCUCUAAUUAACAAACCUUAUGCUUUUAAGGAGGAUAAGGUAAAAUUUUAAUAAAAAAUAUAAAAUAUGAAUAUUAAUAUUUUAGUAAAGUUAUAAAUUAUAUUUUUUUUAUUAAAAAUAAAUAUUUUUUUUAGAAAAUGAUAAUAGUUAAUAAUAUCUUAUUUAAACUGAAUUAUGAAAAUAAGUAUAAUUUAUUUUUCAAAAUAAGCAAUAAAUUAAUCAAGUUUUGAUCACGUACACAUGUUUAUUCCCUAGUUACAAGUAUUCUGAACCAGUUCAAUCCCACAAAAUUUUUAUAAUAAUUAGCAUAAUUUUUUAGUUUUAAUUUAUUUUUAAAAUAAAAGCAUGGAACUAGAUUGAAUCUUUCUUGGGAAUCCCUAGCAAUGCUGGAGGCUGUGGAGUGGCGGGAAAUCAGGGUCAAUUUCAAUCAAACGUGUAUCUCUUUGCAUGUUUAAAAAAAAAAAAAAAAACCACUUAGUCAUUAAUUGUUACAAGCUGUCCAUAUACUAUUCCACCACUUAUCCUGACGGAAUACUUAAAUUAAAUCCUACGUCAUCAUGUUCAACAUGUCUCUACCACUUUCUAAUUGGUAGCCACAAGUUUUCAAUUCCAUUUAUUAAUAAUAAAUUGAAAACAAAAUCAAACUUUCAAAUACUCGCAACAACGUAUGUGAUUUUUUUUCAUCAAAUAAAUCCAUAAAAAGAAUAGUCUCAUUACUAUUAUUUUUUAUUAAAAGAAAAAAAAAAUUCUCGAUAAAAAAUUCAAUUAACUAUUUUCUGGACACCCAAAGCGUUACACCAAGGGGAAAAGAAAAGGAUCAUACAAGUUAAAGUUAAUUAAUUUGACAAAAAAAAAUCAAAUUUGUUUCAUCAUCUCCCAUUAUUAUUUCUAGGAAGAUGUGGUGUGGUGUGACGUAGAACUAAUUAGCUCUUAACAAACAAAUUGAGCAAAAAAUAAUAUCCAAAUUAUGUCCUAUAUAUACCAGUUUAGGCUAGGGGUGUAUAGAGUAGAGAGAUAUCUAGUAGUACUCCCUCUGCCUAUCUCAUUCUCCUCCUAAGUCCUAACAAAUAACAAUGGCCGGGAACGAGGUGGUCCUUCAAAUGGAGGAGCACCGGAAAGUAGUCGCUGAUCAGUUUGGAAAACCUGCGGAUGGCAGUGAUCAUAUGAAAGCCUUGGCUGACUUAAAAUCCAAAUUUCGUCGACUAGAAAAUGAAGAGGAAUCUGAAUCUCCAUUAUCAUCAAGUGUAAAGCCACAACGUCCCUUAUCAUCAAGUGUAAAGCCACAAUGUCCCAUGGUUCCAAAGAGGUUGCGACCAGAUGUCAAGGGUGCUGAAGACUACUACUAUGCGCCAAAACUCAUUUCUUUGGGUCCUUACCACCAUGGCAAGCCCCACCUCAAGGAUGGAGAAACGCUCAAGCUUAAAUUGGCAGAAGCCUACAUCCAAGAAUGUGAGCCAACAGUGGAUGAAAUUUACAACACAAUUAGCGAUAGCAUUAGUGAGCUGAGGGGCUGUUAUGAUGCGGAGUCGACAAAGAAAUAUAAGGAUGACGAAUUAACCAUCAUGAUGCUGGUGGACGGGUGUGCUCUACUCUGUUACAUUUUAUGCGUUUGCUUAGGUUAUGGCCAUGAAGAUUUCAAUAUCAGAUAUCAGGAUAUAAGCCUUCUGCACCAGGAUGCGUUGCUGCUGGAAAACCAACUUCCCUAUCAAUUACUCCUUGAGCUGAUGAAGAUGGUGGACCCAGGAUCAGCCAAUGAUUUUUGGACGGCCAUGUUCCAGGAAUUCUUCGGCAUCAGCGACGAGUCAAUAUUUCAGGAAUUUAUCGGUAUGAAGAAGAAGGAGUCAUUCCUGCAAAAAAUGAAGAAUUAUUGCCCCCGCCUAUUCCUCCCAAUCAACCAAAUUAUUGACCCCAAAUCGAAGCCGCAAAGUCCUAAUAACGAGUCAAAGCCUUGUCAUCAUCUCCUCGAUCUCUUCCGAAGAAAUUUCCUAGGCGAUGAACGUUCCGGCAGCCCAACGCACCCAGAAAAUGAAAAUUUGGAAGGUCCUUCGUCAUCGGAAACUGAAAUUGGCCGGAGGCUGGGUAGAGCAUCAGUUAGAGAUGUGAAGGAGGUUAUGGCAUCAUUUAGAAAUGUGAAGGAGCUGAUGGACGCUGGAAUCCGCAUCAAGCGCAGUCCUACACGUCACUUGAGGGACAUUUCUUUCCGUUCAAAUGGGAUCACCGCAUGCCUGAGAAUUCCUCCCAUCACCAUUGAUAACUCAACCAAGGCUAUGUUCUUGAACUUGAUAGCCUAUGAAAUGAGCUCAGACGUCGACCAUGACUUCAUCUCUUACCUUCGCUUCCUUGAUUCCCUCAUUGAUCAUGCUGAUGACGUUAAGGAGCUGCAGUCCAUCGGGAUACUCCAAAACAAUCUAGGAACCCACGACGAAGUAGCUCAAUUCUUCAACACCGUGUCCGCCAACUUGGAAUCCAACUUUCAUGCUUACAAAGACGUGAGAGUGAAAAUUCGGAAGCACCUUCAGAGUCACUAUAACAGCAAACUGACAAUGUGGAUGACACAAUGCCUGGACACCUAUUUCGGUAGCCCCUGGACUAUCAUAGCUUGGGUUGGUGCAGCUUUGGCCCUAUUCCUUACUUUCGUCCAGACUUACUUCUCAGUCUUCCCUCAUUGAUGCAUGCCUGCCCUCUUUUCAACUAUCACCGUCUCAAUUAAGGUAAUAUCCACUCCAAAUUUCCUUGUUCUUCUUGCUAUCUGCAUUUUACCUAGUCCAUGUAAAUUAAGCAAAGACUCAUUGGCUUCAUGCGCUUUUGACCUUACCUAUUUUGUGUUUUUGGUUUCAGCCUAUUUUCUACAUUGCUUUCCGUGCUUAAAUUAAGUAACGAAUGAAUAUGUAGUGUGACCUUAGUUUGGUGAUUUUGUGCUUUCGCAAGCAUGUGCUAUGCUUAUAUAUAUGCAUCAUCAGCAAUAUUAUGUUUGAUUUAAGUACGUAAAUAAAGAUAGAUAUAGGUGGAAUAUUUUUUUUUCUAUGUUUAUAUUCCUGUUAAUGUAUUAUAUAUAUGUUAGGUCUGGCAAUUUUUUAUCUCAUACCAUUUUUAAUUAAAUCAUUUUUAAACUAUAGUUACUAAGCCAAAAAUUAUAAUGCUCUAGAAAUAUAAUCAAUCUCAUUGUCGAAUUUUUCUAAACUAAUCUCAGAAUAAGCUCGAUAUCUCUAACAAUAUAUUAUUUAAGGCACAUAAUAUUCCAAAAAAAAUUCUGCAAAAGAAAAAGAAAUUUGUUGAGAAGUGGUUUAUUUUAGUUGAUCUCUUAUUAUAUUUAGGAAUAUGGACAAAAUGUUAUAUUUAGGAAUAUGAACAAAACAACAUUUUGUCCGAUAGAAAUUUACCCAUCAAUAUGAAUGGAUAGAAAUUUACCCAUCAACAUGAAUGGUAUGGAAAUUUGACUAAUGCUUGUAAGAUCGGAUUUGUAAAUAUUUGUGGGUGAGUUUCUUUUGACAACCGAUGGACAAAUUCAUGUCAUGUAAGACUUAUUUGACAACAUUCUAAAAUAAUGUUGCUAAAAAUAUUUAAGAAUAGUUCUGAAAAUAUGUUUUACCUGUUUUUAGGAAUAAAAUUCUAACUUAUUUUGAGAAUAUUCUUAAAAAAAAAAGAAAAAAAAAAAGAGAGAAUGUUGUUAAAACUUGUUAAGAAUAUUUUUAAAAAUAUGUUUUAUUUGUUUUUAGGAAUAAAAUUCCAUUUAAGAAGCCUAGUCCUUCGCAAAGGCAUGUGCCACCAUCUAUAAUGGAAGAAGUUCACACCUAUUUUUCAUUUUUUUUUUGUUCUUUUUUUAAAACACUUGCAUAGCUUCUGGAUUAAAGUUCUUAAAGAUUAUUUUCAAAAUUUGAUGUAAUAAUUUAAAAAAAAAUUACUAUAAAUAUAUAUAUAUAUAUAUAGAGUUACUAUUAUUUUUAAUUUUACAAAAUAAAAAACAAAAAAUGUACCUAAAGGAUACCUUAAUUUCAACUUAUUAACUAUAUGUAAAAUUAAAAGUAUUUUUCUCCUUUUCAACUUGUUACAUACUUCAGUGCUUGUAUAUUGCUUCCAUACCAUAUGAUAAGAUGUGGCUAAAAUUGAUCUUCAUGUCAAGAAUUGGAAGCCUUCAAUAUGUUGUAAUUGCUUAAAAGAUUUCGCUUUGAGUUAUGUUUCUUGUGGGGUGAUGGCAAAGAAAACCAACAAAUUAAUAGAAAAACUAUAAAUAUAAUUCAGAAUUAAGGAAAAAAGAAAUACAAUAUUGAAGGUGCAGUAGAAUAAAAAGGAGUGUGGGCAUGAAUGAUAUGUAAAAACUCACCCAAUAGAAUCCUUUAUGAAGUAAAUAUUUUCAUAUCAUACGAUCCAAUGUUAAUCCUUCAUAACCUAUGGAACUGUAGAACCUUGAGAGGAAAAAAGCCACUCACAAAUUAUGACACAAACAGAAACUAGGAACAGUGGAAGAAAAUUGAAAAACUGAUCUCCCUUUCCGAGUCCAGCAACAAAAUUAGUGUCCAACCUUAAAAUGGGCAUGUGUGGUAUUGACGAGAGAUGCUAAGAUGGAAAUCAUAACCAUAGUCAUGUUCUCUCUGUGUCUUUGUGUCUUUCUAACCCACUUUUUUUAAGAAAAUAAUAGACCAAGACUAUAAUUAUCAAUUAUGACUUUAUUGUUUAAUUUAUAUUCUUUAACAAUUUUUUUAUUUUUUUAAGAAUAAUUUGUUUUACUAUAAUGGUAGGUGAUGAAUUUAUUUUCUUAAUAAAAGGCCUCCCAAUAAGGCAAUAGUUUCAUGUUUUUUUUUUAUCCUCUGCUUUUGUUGCAACUCUUCUGCUUCCGACCUUUCAUUAACCUAAAUAUUAGAAGUUUCUAAUUCAGUCCAUUGCACUCCAGUUGUCUAAAUACGGAAGCUUCUUCCACGACCCAGUUGCACUUUGGAAAGUUAAGCUUAAGAUUUACGAAGUUUCUGAAAAUUACAGUUUAUUUAGUUUCUAAAAUCCAAUUAGCUAGAUAUUUUAUUUGAUUUCUUUUUAUAUUUAAGUAGUUGAGUUUUGGAAAGUUUUUAUAUUUUAUUAAUAGAAAAAAAAAAUUUAUAUUUUUUAUUAUUAGGAAUUUCUAUUUUGUUAAAUUGUAAGUAUCUAUCUCAAUAAGAGAUUAUUAAUAUUCGAAUGAAAGUGAUGAAAGAUAGUAAAUAUUUUAAUGCUCCUCAAUUAUAUUUUAAUGUUAUUUUUUUACAUGAGGGUUAAUUCAAUUUUAAUUUCAACAUGUAAUAUGUUAAAAAUAUUAUAAAAUAGAACUAUAAAGGAGUAUUUACUUAUUUUAUAAUAUUUUCAAUCUACAAUUUUCAAAAAUCAAUAUUUAAAAAAGGUAUUAAAACAUCCCUUCUCUUCAAUAUAAAAGCAUUAUUGUAACAUAUUGUGGACCCCGCAUUUUGCCCAAUGCGUUCCCACUCGAUGACAAAACUCGCUUUCUAUUUAUUUUGUGAAAAAUAUGAUUUUUUUCAAAAGACUUAGAGUCGCCACUUAUUUUUGUUUUAUUUUUAAAGGAAAAACAAAAUAAGAAAGAAAAACCCUAAAUGUGAUUCCUUAUUUGGAAAAAAUAGGUCUGUGAAAAAUCACGUCGGGUCCGAGGGUCAGGUUACUUAUUGGAAAAGUACGGUGGUGAGCCAUAACACCCCUCUAAGUCCAUAAAAACGGGUCUCUACUAAUAAAAUGAAGCAAACAUGACAAUUGGUAAGGAAAUCAAUGGAUACAAAAGUGAUCACAAAUUAAAAGUAAUCAUGAUAAUGAAUAAAUGAACGAAGUGAGAGCGAGAGUGUACCUUGGCAGCAGGUAAUAAAGCGUUAUUAUGAAACAAAGUUAGUGCACAAUAACAAAUACAAAAUAUAUCACAUGCAUGUCAAAUAUUAGAACAAAAAAAAAAAAAAUAUUCAUUAGGCAUAGCAAUUAACAAUCAGAAGAGAAAUCUCAUAUGUAGGGUCCCCCACCAAAGCCCAAUUUAUCUUGCAUGCAUUGGUCUCACAAAUUUUAUUAUUUCGAAAUUAUGAAAAAUUCAUUCUUACUUAUGAAAAAUCAAAAGAAACAGAAGAUUAUUUGAAAACCGGAGUGGAAUUAAAACUGUUCAAAAUUUGUUUGAAAAUUGGAGUCUCGAAAAUUAUUUGAAAAUUGGAGUCUUGGGAAUUAAAUUUAAGAAUUGGAAUUUUGGAAAUUAAAUUUGAAAGAAAUUGGAAUUUUUUAAAAUUAUUUAAGAAUUAGAGUUUUUAAAAUUAUAUUAAGGAAUUGGAACUUUAGAAAUUAAAUUUGAAAGAAAUUAGCAAAUUAUUUGAGAAUUAGAGUUAUGAAAAUUAAAUUAUGAAAAUUGGAAUCUUGGAAAUUAUUUGAAGAUGGAAAAAAUAAACAAAAUAAUAAUAGUAAUAAUAAAUAAAUAAAUAAAUAAAUGUGAAAAUUGGAAUUUCGGAAAUUGGAAAUUAAAUUCGGAAAUUGAAAAAUUGGAAUUUCAAAAAUUGAGAAUUAAAAUUGAAAAUCAGAAUUUUGAAGAAUUAUUUACAAAUGGAAUUUUAAAAAUAAAUUAAUUAAUUAAAUAAUGAUAAUAACGAAGAUAACAAUGAUUAAAUAAAUAAAUUUGAAAAUUAGAAUUUUGGAAAUUGGAAAUUAAAUUCGAAAAUUAGAAAAUUGGAAUUUAGGAAAUUCGGAAUUGAAUUUGGAAAUCGGAAUUUUGAAGAAUUAUUUAAAAAUAGAAUUUUAAAAAUAAAUUAAAUAAUGAUAAUAACGAAUAUGAUAAUGAUUAAAUAAAUAAAUAUGAAAAUUAGAAUUUUAGAAAUUGGAAAUUAAAUUCGGAAAAUUGUAAUUUAGGAAAUUGGAAAUUGAAUUUGGGAAUCGAAAUUUUGAAGAAUUAUUUAAAGAUGAAAUUUUAAAAAUAAAUAAAUUAAUUAAUUAAAUAAUGAUAAUAACGAAGAUAGCAAUGAUUAAAUAAAUAAAUUUGAAAAUUAGAAUUUUGGAAAUUGGAAAUUAAAUUCGGAAAUUGAAAAAUUGGAAUUUUGGAAAUUGGGAAUUGAAUUUGGAAAUCGGAAUUUUGAAGAAUUAUUUAAAGAUGAAAUUUUUGAAAACUUGAUUUAAAAGGAGAUGGAGUUUCAAAAAUUUAUUUGAAGGUGUCAUUUUAAAAAUUAAAUUUAGAAUUGUGGAAUUUUUGGAAGAUUAAAAUUAAAAUUUUGAAUUUGGGAAAAUUAAAUUUAAAGUUAGAGUUUUAGAAAAUUAUUUCAAGAAUUGAAUUUUGAAGAAUUAAAUUUAAAAUAUUGAAGUUUUGGAAAAUUGAACUUAAGAUCUGAAAUUUCGUAAACUAAAUUUAAAAAUCAAAUUUUACAAGAUUAUUUCGAAAAGGGUACUUAUAUAUAUAUAUAUAUAUAUAUAUUAAUAAAAUAAUAAAUAAAUAGAUAAAUAAAAAUAAAUAAAUAAAGCAAAUAAAAUGAAUGAAUAAAUGAAUAAAUUUGAAACUUUGGGAUUUUAGAAGAAUUAUUUGAUAACAGAAUUUAAAAAAAAAAUGAAAUUUUUAACAUGAAAAGUGGAAUUACGAAGAUGGCACGUGAAAGAAAAGAUAAAAAACUAAUAAUAAUUCACCAUGAGGCCACUGGACCCAUGCCACUAAUAAAAAAAAAACUCAUGCCUUUGACUUUUCAUUCACCAAUUGUUUAAACAAUUUCCUACUGUCAAUGAACCACCAAGAAGUGGAGUAAUGAAGCCCCACUUCUCCACGAAAAAAAAAAAAACACCAGUAUGUAUCUGACUAGUGAUGACAAACUGUGGUGGCGAACAAGGAUAGAAGACGAUGUAGAGUUUGGAAGGCCCCAAAUCACCACUUGGGAGACUUUGAAGAAGGAAUUGAAGGAUCAGUUCCUUCCCACCAACAUUGCUUGGGUGGCCAAAGAAGCGUUGAAAAGGGUCAAACACACCGGAUCUGUAAGGGACUACGUCAAGGAAUUCAGUUCCUUGAUGCUGGACAUAAAGAACAUGUCAGAUGAGGACAAGCUCUUCAAUUUCAUGUCUAGAUUGCAAGGGUGGGCUCAAACGGAACUUAGGAGGCAAGAGAUUCGUGAUCUCCCUGUUGCCAUGGUUGCAGCAGAUUGCCUGGUGGACUACAAGAUGGGUGGCGCCAUCUCCACCAUGUAGAGACCUAAGUCAGAAGGAGGUAAGAAGGCUAAGGUUGAGGGCAAGACUUCUAAGAAAUCUGGGUGGAAGAAACAGAACAAGAAGCCUGUUGUAGAGGGAAAACCAGUGGAAAAGACCAUAAAGUUUGUGCAGCAGACCACCCGGAUGGUAGGAUGUUUCAUCUGCAAUGGCCCUCAUCGAGCCAGAGACUGCCCCAAAAGAAAGAAACUCUCAGCCCUUGUGACUGUAGACGACAAGGGAGAGUCUGACUUAGAGACUCCUCUUAGAGUCAACCCACUGCAACUCCUGAACGUGAUUAAUGGUGAGACUCCAGUCCAUAAGUCCCUAAUGCAUGUCCAUGCAGUUGUAAAUGGUGUGCAGGUGAAGGCCUUGGUGGACAGUAGUGCCACGCACAACUUCGUGGCCACCAGAGAAGCAACCAGGUUGGGAUUGAAGUUGGAAGAGGAUACUAAUUAGAUCAAGGCAGUCAAUAGCAAAGCCCAGAAAAUCCAAGGGGUAGCAAAGAAUGUCCCCAUGCAAAUUAGUGACCGGAAGGGCACAUGCAACCUACUUUGUGUACCCUUGGACGACUUCAACUUGAUCAUCGGUGUAGAUUUCCUCUUGAGGGCUAAGGUGGCCUUGAUCCCACAUCUUGGUGGGCUGGUGGUGUUAGAAGAAAAGCAGUCUUAUUUCAUGAAGGCCUUGAGGGUGAAGGAUGGUGGCAAGGGUUAACAUGAGAUGCUGUCUACUAUCCAUUUGAAGAAGGGAUUGAAGAGGGGUCAGGAGACUUAUGUUACAACCUUGAUCGAGAUCAAGGAGAGAUAGUCUGUGGAAGUCCCUGAUUCAGUGGUCAAAAUCCUUAAGGAGUUCAGAGAUGUGAUGUCUGCAGAACUCCCCAAAGAAAUGCCACCUAGGCGGCCUAUUGACCACAAGAUUGAAUUGCUACCUGGAACAAAGGCCCCGGCUUAAGCUCCUUACAGGAUGCCUCCUGCGGAGUUGUUGGUGUUACGUAAGUAAUUGAAGGAACUGUUGGAUGCAGGCCUGAUCCAGCCCUCAAGGGCCCCAUAUGGUGCACCAAUGAUGUUCCAAAAGAAGCAUGAUGGCUCUCUCCGCAUGUGUGUAGAUUAUAGAGCUCUCAACAAGGUGACCAUCAAGAACAAGUACCCGAUCCCCUUGGCUGCCGAGCUGUUUGACAGAUUGUCAAAAGCCUCUUACUUCACCAAGUUGGACCUAAGAUCGACUACUGGCAAGUGCGAAUUGCAGUAAGAGAUGAGAAGAAUACCACCUGUGUAACUCGGUAUGGAUCAUACGAGUUUCUGGUAAUGCCAUUUNNNNNNNNNNNNNNNNNNNNNNNNNNNNNNNNNNNNNNNNNNNNNNNNNNNNNNNNNNNNNNNNNNNNNNNNNNNNNNNNNNNNNNNNNNNNNNNNNNNNUAAUGCCCCUGCUACAUUCUGCAAUUUGAUGAAUGAUGUUCUGUUUGAUUACUUAGAUGCAUUUGUGGUAGUGUAUCUAGAUGAUAUUGUGGUUUACAGUAAGACUCUAACAGAACAUGAGAAACACUUGAGAUUGGUGUUUCAGAGAUUGAGGGAGAACAUGCUUUAUGUAAAGCCAAAGAAAUGUGAGUUUGCUCAGGAGGAUAUCACAUUUCUAGGACACAAGAUCAGUGCAGGUCUGAUCAAGAUGGAUAAAGGCAAGGUGCAGGCUAUUAUGGAGUGGCCAGUCCUUAGCAAAGUGACUGAGUUGCGGUCCUUCCUUGGCUUGGCCAAUUACUACAGAAGGUUCAUUAAGGGGCAUUCAAAGAGGGUGUCUCCCCUUACUGACCUAUUGAAGAAGGACAACCAGUGGAGUGGAGCAUGUAGUGUCAGAUGGCCUUUGAAGGCUUGAAGGAAGCCAUCUCCACUGAGCUUGUGCUACGUUUGCCAGACUUAGACUUACCCUUUGAAGUCCAGACAAAUGCCUCAAAUAGAGCUUUGGGUGGAGUCUUGGUGCAAGAAGGGCACCCUAUGGCAUUUGAAAGUAGGAAGUUGAAUAAUGUUGAGCAGAGGUACUCCACUCAUGAGAAGGGGAUGAUAAUUGUGGUUCACUGCCUGCAGCAGUGGAGACACUACUUAUUGGGAAGCAUUUUUACAGUGGUCACUGAUAAUGUGGCCAACACCUUCUUCAAAACUCAAAAGAAGCUGAGUCCCAGACAAACACGAUGGUAGGAGUUCCUGGCCAACUUCAAAUUUGAAUGGCUGCAUCGACCAGGAAGACAUAACACUGUGGCUGAUGGCUUCAGUAGGAAAGAGGUGAUUGCCUACAUCAUGGCCCUCUCAGAAGUCAUCUUUGACUUCAAUAAGAAAAUCAAGCAAGUUGCAGAGUAGGAUGCUGCAUAUGGCAGGUUGAAGCGGCAAGUUAAGGAGGGUGUGAUAAGGAGGUAUUGGCUAGAGGGAGACCUCCUUGUGGCAAAAAGAGGAAGAUGGUAUGUUCCUGCAGGCGGCCUGAGAAAUGAAUUAUUGCAGAAAACUCAUGACGCAAAGUGGGCAGGUCAUUCCGGUGAAGAGAAGACUCUGGCACUGCUAGCCAUAUCCUACUAUUGACCUAAGAUGGGUGAGGAUGUCCAGGCAUAUGUGAAAUCCUAUCUGGUUUGUCAGAUGGACAAGACCAAGAUGAAGAAGGUUGUAGGGUUGCUACAACCCCUCUCCAUUCCAGAGAAACCUUAGGAGAGCAUUUCCAUGGAUUUCAUCACUGGAUUUCCAAAGGUUUGUGACUUUAAAUCUAUCUUUGUUGUUGUAGAUAGAUUCUUUAAGUAUGUUGUGUUUAUACCUGCCUCUGAUGCUUGCUCUACGGAGGAAGCGACUAAGUUGUUUUUCAGUAAUGUUGUCAAGCACUUUGGGUUGCCUAGGGACAUAGUCAAUGAUCGAGAUGCACGGUUCAUAGGCCGAUUUUGGGUUGAGUUGUUCAAACUCUUGGGUUCAUAGUUGAAGUUUUCUACAGCCAACUACCCUCAUACUGUCGGUACUCGCACGGAUUCUACCAUUUCCCGGUAUUCGCCGGGAUUUUACGAUUUUUCGUUAUUCGCUCGGAUUCUACCAUUUUCAUUUAGUCACACUGAUUCAACCCUUUUCCGGUACUCGCCCGAACAGUUUUUCGGUACUCGCACGGAUUCUACCAUUUCCCGGUAUUCGUUGGGAUUUUACGAUUUUUCGGUAUUCGCCCGGAUUCUACCAUUUUCAUUCAGUCACACUGAUUCAACCCUUUUCCGAUACUCGCCCGGAGAGUUUUUCGGUAUUCGCACGGAUUCUACCAUUUCCCGGUAUUCGCCGGGAUUUUACGAUUUUUCGGUAUUCGCUCGGAUUCUACCAUUGUCAUUUAGUCACACUGAUUGAACCCUUAUCCGGUACUCGCCUGGAGAGUUUUUCGAUACUCGCACGGAUUCUACCAUUUCCCAGUAUUCGGUUGGAUUUUACGAUUUUUCGGUAUUCGCUCGGAUUCUACCAUUUUCAUUUAGUCACACUGAUUCAACCCUUUUUCGGUACUCGCCCGAACAGUUUUUCAGUAGUCGCACGGAUUCUACCAUUUCCUGGUAUUCGUUGGGAUUUUACGAUUUUUCGGUAUUCGCUCGGAUUCUACCAUUGUCAUUUAGUCACACUGAUUGAACCCUUAUCCGGUACUCGCCUGAAGAGUUUUUCGAUACUCGCACGGAUUCUACCAUUUCCCGGUAUUCGGUUGGAUUUUACNNNNNNNNNNNNNNNNNNNNNNNNNNNNNNNNNNNNNNNNNNNNNNNNNNNNNNNNNNNNNNNNNNNNNNNNNNNNNNNNNNNNNNNNNNNNNNNNNNNNCAUGACGCAAAGUGGGCAGGUCAUUCCGGUGAAGAGAAGACUCUGGCACUGCUAGCCAUAUCCUACUAUUGACCUAAGAUGGGUGAGGAUGUCCAGGCAUAUGUGAAAUCCUAUCUGGUUUGUCAGAUGGACAAGACCAAGAUGAAGAAGGUUGUAGGGUUGCUACAACCCCUCUCCAUUCCAGAGAAACCUUAGGAGAGCAUUUCCAUGGAUUUCAUCACUGGAUUUCCAAAGGUUUGUGACUUUAAAUCUAUCUUUGUUGUUGUAGAUAGAUUCUUUAAGUAUGUUGUGUUUAUACCUGCCUCUGAUGCUUGCUCUACGGAGGAAGCGACUAAGUUGUUUUUCAGUAAUGUUGUCAAGCACUUUGGGUUGCCUAGGGACAUAGUCAAUGAUCGAGAUGCACGGUUCAUAGGCCGAUUUUGGGUUGAGUUGUUCAAACUCUUGGGUUCAUAGUUGAAGUUUUCUACAGCCAACUACCCUCAUACUGAUGGGCAGACUGAGAGAAUCAACGCCUUGCUGGAAGAAUACCUCAAGCAUUAUGUGACAGCAAUACAAAAGAAUUGGGUGGAUUUGUUAGAUACUGCCUAGUUGUGUUAUAAUCUGCAGAGGAGCUCAACAACAAGGAUGAGUCCCUUUGAGCUGGCUAUUGGGGUACAGCCACAGAUGCCUUUGGAGGUAGCUAAGCAAAAAGCAGAAGGAGGUAGUCCUGCAGCUUACAAGAUGGCUCAAUCCCGGCAUGAGAUGUUUGAUGAAGCCCGGGACAGUCUAGAGAAGGCAGUUAGAUGAAUGAAGAAGUAUGCGGAUCAUGACCGCAAAUCCUUGGAAUUUUAGGUUGGGGACAAGGUCCUCUUGAAAUUGACUCAUAAGAUAUGGAAGAAAAUCAGUAGCAAGACAAGGCAGAGGAGUCUAAUUCCUAAGUAUGAUGGACCAUUCGAGGUGAUAAAACGAGUUGGGCAGAUGACCUACAUGUUGAAGCUGCCUGAGAGGCUCAAGCUUCACCUAACUUUCCAUGUUAGCUUUCUAAAUCUUUACCAUGAGGAUCUGGAUGUAGAGAGAGUGCAAAUAAAGCGGGCCCUUCUCUUGGUCAUGAAGCAGUUUGAUCGAGAGAUAGAGAAAAUCUUAAAUCAUAGGACCAUGGGACAUAGCAGAAAGAACCGACGAACUGAUUUCUUGGUUUAGUGGAAGUGGACUUCAAAAGUAGAAGCUACAUGGGAGAGGAAUGUUACCUUAUGGCAAUUUGAGACGGCGGUCCAAACAUAUUGGUAGACUAAGUCGACGAGGGUGUCAACUUCAAUAGGCGGGGGUGGGUUUGUCAGCCCCUUAACCACUUGACUCUACCAUGGAGGAAAAGGCCUCAUGGGUAAACCUUGCACCCAUGAGAGCCUAGACGGAGAAAGCAAGGAAGACUUAGAGGUUUGGUGGUUCAAACUCCAAGAGCUAAGUGAGAAGGCCAUGUGUGAGCUAGACACGCACCGUGGACGAGCCUGACGCACACCGUGCGUGCAUCGCGAGCGAGUCAAACAAGCACCGCGUGCGCAUUAGAUGGGCACCGCGUGCACACUAGAUGGGCAUCGCGCGCGCACCAAUCUUAGGUAGUGCAGAUGAAGGCUGAAGGCUACUUUUGGAAUUUAAUUUAUAUUUAUUUAAUAUUCCAUUAUGUCUCAUCAGGCAUAUUAAUGUCUCCUCCAGAAACAAUGAAAACGACUUGUAUUACUCUUUAGGGGGGGGGGGGGGGGGGGGGGGGGGGGGGGGAGGAGGUAAGCAACUCAAAAAGGGAAGCACCAAGGGAAAGCCUUGACCGCACCAAGAGGGCACCAUGACACGACCUUGGGCGUGCCUAGGACACACGGAUAGGACUCGAGCACGCACACAUGGGCUCCACGACAUGUGUGGUGUGCACCACGUGGCCACAACGGCACGGGGCCUGGUGCGGCCUACCUCCUCCUCGUGUAGGCAUGAGGACGCCUAAACCUUGUGCAGUGAGCCAGUUGAGGAAGUCAUGGGCGCAAUACCAUGGCUUGAUGGGGCAUUAAACAACAAUUGACUAGCACCCAUGAUGCCUACGUACAGCACAAGGGCGCAAUGCCCUGUGCACUAAGAGGGAUCAGUCAUGAACGCAAUGUCAUGGCUCGUUGCUAUGAAGUUGGACCUCACAUUGGAAGCAAGCAACAUGCCCAAGCCAUGGGCACCUAAACAUGACAUGGGCUCACAUAUCAGUGUGGGGAAGACACACUGAUGCACCAGACACUUGGUCAGCUGGUUGGUGCACGUUGCCUAGUUCUGAAGGCCUUGAUCAAAGACACGCUGGUGGGCACCAGGUCAUAAGAGGCACCUUGCGGGAAAGGAGGCAACUUGUUAAGGGGACUCUUCAGCAGCUUGGUGAGAAAGGCUUGAGGAGAUGGCAAUGCAACAAGCUAGUGGCAGCUAGUUGGGAUAGCAAGUGAUCAAGUCAAGCAGCCAAUUGACUUGCAGUUGGCUGAGGUGUUGAUGGCUGGUGCAAGUGGGUGGUUCACGAGCAGGCCACUAUCUGGGUGGUGGGUGGUUAUGCAGGACAGUUAUGGGCGCAUUUGGCCAAUUGCAUAACCACUAGAUUGGCUUCAACUUUUAAAUUUGGUAAUUCAAAAAUGUAACUGCAGAAUGAGUCUUUUAAAAGGGCUCCUGCAUCCUUGAAAUAGAGAGUGAGAGAUUGGGAUAGGGUUCUCUUAAUGCUUGGGGUGUGAAGUAUUGUACUAUGACUCAGGGGAAACAAUUUUGUCUUGUAGAGUGAAUUAAUACAAGUUGGGAAAGGUUUCCUGUAAAUCGUUGGUGUCCCUGUUACUGUGCUUUUACUUUGCUUUUACUCUAUUUUUGAAAAGGCUGGGAAGGAAGGUUGGCUAAGGAAGGGUCCUUAGCACCGCACACUCGUGAAAAAUUUAGUGUGAUCUUCAGGGGGGUGUAACAGUGAGUAUAGUGUCGGGUUUGAGCAUCUCCAAGCAUUUCAAUAUGGUUCAAAUGGCUCUCAAACAUCCAGAAAUUCCCAACAGUAUGAAAAAUGGCUCUCAUGGUGCUCUCCCAGAAACACCUCCACCCAAGAUGGCCAACCUCAAACGUAAUGCCCAACACUCUAAAAUAUACCAAAAGCAGAGGAGAAAGUAAACAAAAGCAAAGCAUGCACAAACGUAAAUGAUACCGUUAAACCUAGCUCCAUUUCAUAAAGAUCAAUGGGCUGGAUAUAGGCGGAACCAAAAGAAAGCAAGAACGUGAUCUUCAAAACCUUAUUCAAGCAUCAAGAUGAACCCAAAAUUGGCGGGAAAUGAAAUAGAACAAACCGAAAUGGGAAAUGCAAAGCAUGCUAAAAUCAUACCUGACCAAAACGACAGGCUUUUCCUCUGCUCAAACUCGGAAUGUCCCUUUCUCCUAUCUUUCUUAGCUAGCUCUGCUACCCUUCCUCCAUGUCUCCUAUCAGCUGGGUUUUUCUUAUUUUCUCAGCCCGCUUCAUAACCACCAGAAAAACGAAAAAAAAUCUCUUCUUACCUCCUUCCAGCUUACUUCUCCUCCAAGCUAUAUCCAUAUCCCAUCUCAUUUGGCAACCCAAUAGCUCACCCAUCAGUCCUCUUUGGCUGCCCCAAAAACAGCUCACUUCUAAGGUAGUCAGAAAAAGAAAAAAAGAAGAAAGAAGGAAAAAAAAAAUGCUUCCAUCCGAGGGGGUCUACACAUAUACAUUUUGUUCUAAUUUUCUAAUAGUUGUGCACAGUUGAAGGGAAAACAAUUUGAUUUUCUAAUUAAUAUUACUUUUAUAAAUACUUUAAUUACUUUUAUAAAAUUGAUUCAUAAUGAUUUUAUUAUUUCUUUGGAACUCAUAAAAUAAAUCUAAUUACGACAGAAAAAGAAAAAGAGAAAAGUGAGUUUUGAUCACUAAUUUGAAAAAUACAAAAAUAAAAAACUUCAGCUUUUAUAAAUCAUUUGUAUCUUCAUUUAUUUAAAAUUAUUUUAAAAUACAUGCACUUUUUUAUAACUCAAAUAAUUAUUUCCUAAAAUGACCUUAUUAUUUAUGAUGUUAAUAAUAUCAUUUUUUUUUAACCAUGAGAACCUAUUUGAGAUUAAUAAAAUGAGAAAUUUUAAAAAUUUUAAAUACAAUUAAAACUAAAAAAACUUUAAAGUUAAAAAUAUAAAAAUAAAAUAUUAUAUUUUUUUAUUAUAUUUUUGGUUUUUAAUUGUAUUUAAUUUUUAUGUAUUUUAGUUUUAAUUAUAUUUUUAAAUUUUAUAAAUUUCUUAUGUUAUCCUUAAUUGAUGUCAACUAAUAAAAUUUAUAUUCAAUUUUAUUUAUUUUUUUUAAAUGAGAAGAUGUGGGGGUUUAUCUAAUACAAAACAUAAAAUCAUAUUAACUAGGGGAUUAACAAGAUUUUAUUUAUUACUUGAUGAUGUUGGAAAAUUUUUCCACGAUGAUUUGUAUCUUAUGUUAUAUAAUAAAAUUUUAUAAUAUAUUUAUUUAUAAAAUAUUUUUAUCAAAUUAAAAUAAUAAAUUUGGAUAAAUUCAUUUAAUAUUAUCAAAUAAAAAUGUAUUUUAGGAAAUAAUUAUUUAACUUAUGAAAAAGUGUAUAUAUUUUAAAAAAAAUUAAAUGGAUAAAGAUAAAAUUGAUUUAUAAAAUUUAAUUUUUUUUUUCUAUAUUUUUUCAAAUUAGGUUAAAACCCACUUUUUCUCAAAAAAAUAAUAGACCAAAUCUAUAAUUAUCAAUUACAAACCUACAAUUAUCAAUUAUGACUUUAUUGUUUAAUUUAUAUUCUUUAACGAAUUUUUAAAAUUUUUAAGAAUAAUUUGUAAUUCAAAAAAUUGGUCCAUUUAAUUACAAAUUAAAUAAAAAAUUCCAUAAUAUGUUGUUAUCCUUGUAUGUAAUAAAAAACUCGGAUUAUUUAUAUGUUAUAAAAGUUAAAAUUUAUUUAUUUUUAAAUUAAUUUUAUAUAAAAUAUUAUUAAUUGUUAUUAUUUUUAAACAAUUAUUAUUCAUUUUUUAAAAAAAAUAAUUAUACUUUUACAAAAAUAUUAAUAUCCAUAUUUUUAUAAUAUAUAUUAAAAUAGUAUAUUUUUAUGAAAAAAAAAAUAAUUUUAUGACUUUAUUAUAAUAUUACUAUUCAUAUUUCACUAAAUUUAAUUUAUUUGUAACAACAAAAAAAACUAUUUUCAUUUUUAAUAAAACUUAAAUUAAAUCUAAUUAAUAUGGUAUAAAUAGAAUUUAUAACAUUUUUACAAAAUCAAAAUAGAAAAAAAAAAUUAAACCAAUUUAUUCAAAUAAACUUGUUUUUUCUUUUUUCUAAAUAUUUUUAAAAACAAUUUAUCUAAUACUCUUAUUUUUAUAAAAUAUUAAAAUAACAAUUUUUUUAUUUAAAAAAAAACAUGAAAAAAGCAUGGUCACAACAAACCUAAAAAUAAUUAUGAUUCUAUGUACUUUUUCAUUAAAUGUGCUAUUUUUUACCAUUCACGUGUUAUGCCUUACUGAUGUAGAUCAAAGUUACGCAUAAGAUUAAAAAUGAUUUUUGUACUGUUGCUAUUUUGACGGGUUUUUUUUUUUUCAAAUGAAACAUGCUUUUUGCCCUUUUUGCCCCCACUCUGAUUGAGGGUUUGGUUUAUUUCACUAGCACGGAGCCCUCUCCAUCUGCCAGCCUACCUGACAACUCUGAACCGCUCUUUAAGUCUUUGUUUUUCCUCUUUCAUCAAUGACACAAAUAACUCUCACAUCAGGCGUUUUAAUCUAUUACUGCCACAGGCCCACAAGCAUCAGACAAGGUAUUAAUAGAGGCUUCUCUUUGAUACACCUCAAUAACCAUCCAUGUAAGAUAUGUAUAUUAAACACUAUGAUUCAAUACAUUAUUAUAUACAAACCAGAUGAACCCAGUUACCCACAACCUAGCUUAUUAUAAUUUUUUUAUUUGAAUUAAAUUAAAUGAUUUCAUAAUAAUACUUUUUUUUAUUUUGAAAUAAUAGGUGUUGUGCAAUUUGUUUUACUUUAUUGGUAGGUUAUGAAUUAUUAUUAUUAAUAGUAAUAGUAAUAUAAUUCAAUUAAUAUUUUGUAGGAUACUCAAAAGCUUUAUAUGCACGUAACAAAAUAAAAAGACUUACGAAGACUUAAAAUUAAUGUAAUAUCUAUUCAAUUUACAUAAAUAAGUAUGAUUGUGUGAAAAAGGAGAUAAAUGAAAAAGGUAAAGAAGGUGAACAAUAAUAAAUUUGAAGGAUAUGGGAAAUAUUUGGUUAAAUUAAUAAAGAUAAAAUUGAUUCAUAAAAUUUAAGUUUUUUUUUUUAUAUUUUUUUAAAUUAGUGGGUCAAAACCCACUUUUUCUCAAAAAAUAAUAGAUCAAAACUAUAAUUAUCAAUUAUAACUUUAUUGUUUAAUUUAUAUUCUUUAACAAAUUUUUAAAAUUUUUAAGAAUAAUUUGUAAUUCAAAAAAUUGGUCCAUUUAAUUACAAAUUAAAUCAAAAUUUCCAUAAUAUGUUGUUGUCGUCGCAUGUAAUAAAAAGCUCGGAUUAUUUUAUAUGUUAUAAAAGUUAAAAUUUAUUUAUUUUUAAAUUAAAUUUAUAUAAAAUAUUAUUAAUUAUUAUUAUUUUUGAGCAAUUAUUAUUCCUUUUUAACAAAAAAUAUAUAUUUUUACAAAAAUAUUAAUAUCCAUAUUUUUAAAAUAUAUAUUAAAAUAGUAUAUGUUUUUAUGAAAAAUAUAAUUUUAUGACUUUAUUGUAAUAUUAUUAUUCAUAUUUUACUAAACACUAUUUAUGUUAAUUUAUUUGUUAUAACAAAAACUAUUUUCAUCUUUAAUAAAACUUAAAUUAAAUCUAAUUAAUAUGGUAUAAAUUGAAUUUAUAACAUUUUUACAAAAUCAAAAUAGAAAAAAAAAAUUAAAACCAAUUUAUUCAAAUAAACCUUUUUUCUUUUUUCUAAAUAUUUUUAAAAACAAUUUAUCUAACACUUAUUUUUAUAAAAUUUUAAAAAAACAAACAUGAAAAGAACAUGGUCACAACAAACCUAAAAUAAUGACGAGUCUGAACCGCUCUUUAAGUCUUUGUUUUUAUUUCACUCAGACGGAGCCCUCUCCAUUUGCCAGCCAGCCUGACAAGUCUGAACCGCUCUUUAAGUCUUUGUUUUUCCUCUUUCAUUAAUGACAAAAAUAACUCUCAUAUCAGGCGUUUUAAUCUAUUACUGCCACAAGCAUCAGACAAGGUAUUAUUAGAGGCUUCUCUUUGAUACACCUCAACAACCAUCCAUGUAAGAUAUGUAUAUUAAACACUAUGAUUCAAUACAUUAUUAUAUACAAACCAGAUGAACCCAGUUACCCACAACCUAGCUUAUUAUAAUUUUUUUUAUUUGAAUUAAAUUAAAAGAUUUCAUAAUAAUACUUUUUUUUUUUUUUUUGAAAUAAUAGGUGCUGUGCAAUUUGUUUUACUUUAUUGCUAGGUUAUGAAUUAUUAUUAUUAGUAGUAAUAGUAAUAUAAUUCAAUUAACAUUUUGUAGGAUACUCAAAAGGUUUAUAUGCGACAUAACGGAAUAAAAAGACUUACGAAGACUUAAAAUUAAUGUAAUAUCUAUUCAAUUUAUAUAGAUAAGUAUGAUUGUGUGAAAAAAGAGAUAAAUGAAAAAGGUAAAGAAGGUGAAAAAUAAUAAAUUUGAAGGAUAUGGGAAAUAUUUGGUUAAAUUUCAAACUAAUGGUAAAUAAGUAUUUUUAACCUCUAUACAGGGGGAAGUGAGUAAAAUUAUUGAAUGUAGCCAAAAAUAUAAAUAAGGUACUAGAGGCUUCUAAAUAAACGUGGAUAUGAGAAAAGGUAUAUUUAUAAAAAUUAAAUAAAAUUGUUGAAGAAACUAUUAAACUAUAAUCUAAUGCUUUACAAUCUUGUAUAAUGAGAUUAACCUAAAUUAUUAACGAAAUAUCUUAUUAUAUUUUUUAUUUAAAUUAAAUCAAAAAAAUUUGAUAAUAAUGAUUUCAUUUUUAUCUUAGGAGUAAUAGGUGUUCCUUGUGUUCUUUUGUGAUCUCUUGUGUCUAUAAUUAUAUUACUUUUUCUCACACACUCUCUUACUUGGUUAUUUGUUUGUCUUAUGUGUGCAUAUCAUAGGAUUGUUCAUUGGUGGAUGUUGUAUGGUAAUUGUAAUUUGUGCGAUUAAGGAUGAUGUUUAGUUUAGAUGAAUGUCCUUGACAAAUUUGUAAACUCCAUUUGAGAAUUUUAGGGGUUUAUGUAAUUUAUAUUUUGUCACAAGAUUGUCAAAAGGGGGAAAUUGUUAAUUAGUGCAUUAGGCUACUUAGUUUAAAUUAAAAAUUUUGUUCAAUCCAUCUUCACUUACAGACUUUUUUAGAUUAUUAUGUUUUACUAUUUAUUAAAAACUUAAGGUUAUUGCAUGAUCAAUUGGAAUAAUAUAAGUAUAGAGAUGUUCAAGAAAAGUUAAUUGGAAUCAAUUAUAGCAUGAAAUGAAUGUUAGGCUUUAAGCUAGUGAAAAAGGUUUUAAAAUUAAUUUGAAACUACUCAUGAGCCCGAGCUCAAGCAUCACUUUUAGUGUUCAAGCCAAAAUUCUAUAGGAUACUGAAUUUUUUUUUUUUGUCAUAUUUUUAGAGGUUUAUUGAAACAAAAAUUUAAAUUUCAUCUCUUGUUUAUUAUUUAAUACAAACUUUGAAAAUAAUUUAAGUAUUAGUUUUCCCACAUUCUAAACUCUUAAAAGUUCUCAUUCUUAGAUUUAUAAGAGAGAUUUGCAUCGCGAGAUGUACACUAAGGUCACAAUCAAGAUUUACAAACUAUUCGCGUUGCAUGAUUUGUUUUACUGUAAUGGUAGGUGAUGAAUUUAUUUUAGUUCACAUGUGAAAAUGAUGGGGCUAUAAAGAAAAAGAUACAAGUUAAAGUCCGACAAUUUUUUUUUAAUUGAGAUUCAUUUAUUUAUUUUUAAUUGAGAAAAAUAAAAUAUUAAUAUUAUUAGAAACUUUAUUUAUCAAUUUUUUUACUAUACAAUUUUCAUACAUCUAAUAUGUGAACUUUUUAAUAUCAUGGCAAAAGUGAAAAACAAAAAUAAAAUAUUUAAAAAAGAUUGAUCAAAUUACCAAACCAUCUUAUACUUAAAAAUAAGGCACUUAAAAAGACAAAUGACUCUUAGAAAGAGAAUUUGUAUUUUCAUCAAUUUAAGUUCUUUAUAUAUCUAUUUUAUUUGCACACUUACCUAAUUAUUUACAAUAUACUUCAAAUAAAUUUUAUUAUAUACCUUCUUUCACCUUCUUUCCUUGUUUUUUUUUUCUUUGGCAAAAAUAUUCUUCUCUCCAACUUUUUUGUUAUAAAAACAAAAUAAUAUUUGAGAUUAGUGUAAAGCUGAUUGUAAUAUUUUAAAUGUAUUUUUUAAUUGAAGUACUCAAUUAUAUUAGGUUUAUUUCAUAUAAAUAUAUUUUGAGUUUAUUAUUUAUAUAAUUUUUUUAUUAAUAUUUGUUAGAAAAAUAAUUAAUACUUAUUAAAGUUUUUUAAAGGCAACACUUACUAUUUUUUUUUUAAGAAAUACCGACCCUAAACUAAAAAGGGUAUAAUUGAAAUUCAUAAGGGAUCAAAAUUUCAAUUACAAAUUUGAUGACCGUUUUGAAUACUUGUCAACUAAUUUUAACUAUUUUGGAUAAUUUUUCCAUCGCCAAAUUGAAAGAAAGGCAAAUAAUUACAGAGAUUCGAAUGGAUCUCUAUUUGAAAUGCCCGCUUGCCCGCCCUUCAUUUAAGGACCUUUGGUUGGUUUUUCUAUGGGUGACGGGGGAAGAGAGAAACAAGAAACCAAAGGAGGAGGGUAGCUCAUUUUGGGUCUUGCCAGUUUUUGGAGAAGGAUAGCUUACUCGAAGCCGCUUCAAGCAAUACUACUUUGGCGGACCUUUUCAGGUAUGGCAGCUGUAAGCUUCUUUUUAUUUUUUAUUUUUUAUUUAUUUGCUCCAUUUUCUGCUGAUUUUCUGAUCGAUGUGGAAAUCAAGGCUUAAAUGAUUGUUUUGCUGAAUCUGAAUUUGUUUUCAUACUAAACUCUGUUUUGAUUUUAUACUGAUCCCUUUUAUUUUUCCUGUAAAUAACUACCGUAUGGAUUGUUCUUGAGUUGGAUACUUGAUAAUCAUGCCACUGCUCUAUGCUUAUCCCACUUACGUUCAAUCCCAUGGAUAACACAAUGAAAUGUAAGAUAUGGUAUAUUUAUCAAAAUCAACAAUGAGUGCCCCUAGCAUCAGACACGGUAUUAAUAGAGGCUUCUAUUUGAUAUACCUAUCCAUCCAUGUAAGAUAUGGUAUAUUUAUCAAAAUCAAAUAAAAUUCUGUGUGAAACUAUUAAACACUAUGAUUUAAUACAUUAUAGUUAUGUACAAGCCAGAUCAGCCCAGUCACCCACCACGUAGCUUAUCUUUUUUAAUUUGAAUUAAAUUAAACUACUAAAUGCAAUAUAUUUUGAGAUAUUUCUAAAAUCUGUUUGAGAGUAUUAGAGGUUUGUGUAAUAUAUUUAGUAACAAAACUUCCAAAUGAGGGUUAUUUAGUUUAAAUUGAUAAUUAUGUUCUGUUUAGGACUUUUUUAGAUUAUUAUACCUUACUUUUUAUUGAAGAUUUAAAGUUGUUGUAUAAUCAUGAAAUGGAUGUUAAGCUUUACGGAAAAUUGAUUUUAAACUAUGUAGGAGCCAACGUUCAAGCAGUACCCCCGAUGCUCAAACCAGAGUUUUAUAAAUUCUGAAAAUUUUCUUGUUCGACAUUUAUUGAGAGUGUUUUCUUUUUAAAAAAUUUUAGAUUUCAUUCUCUAGUUUUCACUCUUGAAUGCAAACUUUGAAAGAAAAAUCUAGGUAUUGGUUUUCCCACUUACCAAACUUUUAGAAGUUUGUUUUUUGAUUCCUAGGUUUGUGAGAGUGAUUUGUAUCCCCUUUGAUAUUGAGGUUGUCCAAUGGGUGCACAUGUGGUGAUAUGUGAUGAAAAAUUAGUAUAAGUAUCAAGAGAGUAAGAUUUAUGAAUAACUUUUAUCAUGUGAAUAUGUAUACCAGUUGUUUUAUAAUGAAUUUGUGUUUUGUGAUUUCUGGUAGUUUUUCCAUUUGAAUAUUCUUGUUGAUAACUGUAGGAUGAUUUUCAGGUAAACAUAAUUAUAUCUCCUGUUAUUGACCCUUUUUUACAUUCCUCAAUUAUUAGAGAGGAAUUAAAAACAAAUAUUUUGGGCUAAAGCGAAAUAAAUGCUCUAAAAAAUAUUAGUGUUGCACAAUUUAUUUUACUAUAAUGGUAGGUGAUUAAUUUGACAAAUAUAAUAUAGGAAAGCAAUGUCACAUCCCAUUCAAAUUUUGAAAAAGGCCUAAAGUAAAUUAUAGAAAUUACAUGCUGAAAUACAAGAUUUAUGGAUUGAAGUUUCUACAGAGAUAUGUGGGGUAGCACUCUGUCUAGAUAUCUCAUUCUCGUACUAACAAUGACUGUAGAGAUCGAGAUGGACCAUUUCGUGGUGCCGCAGGAAGUAGUUGCUGAUCAGGUUGUAAAUCCUGCGGAUGGCGGUAGGCAUAUUAGAACCUUGGCCAACUUAAAAUCCGAAAUUUGUCGAACACGAGACGACACUCCAUCAGAAAAAAAUGCAAAGCUAGAAUGUCCCAAGGUUCCAAAGUCGUUGUUGCCAUCAGAUGCCAUGGGUUCUGAGUCUGACGGCCACCGCAAUGAGCCAAAAAUCAUGUCUUUGGGUCCUUACCACCAUGGCAAUCCCAAGCUCGCGCGUGGAGAAAUAAUCAAGCUUAAUUUGGCAGAACAUGCCUUUUUAUUAUUUUCGAUGUCGGAAUCAAUCUCAAUAGAGGAGGUCGAUGAAUUGUACGGCGAAAUUAGCGGUCAAGUCCAAUCGCUGAGGAGCUGUUAUGAUGCGAAGUCGACGGAGAAUUAUUCGGAUGAAGAAUUCAGUGUGAUGAUGAUGGUGGACGGGUGUGCUUUACUGUAUUAUAUGUUUCAUGCUUGCUAUGGUGAUGAACAUGACCAAGAAAAUUCCGGUAUCAGAUAUCAGGAUCUAAGGCAUCUGCAGCGGGACGCGUUGCUGCUGGAGAACCAACUUCCCUAUAAAUUACUCCUGGAACUGGGCGAAAAGGUUCCAGGAUAUGACACUAGUGAGUGGAUGGCACUAUGCUUGGAAUUCGUUGGAGUGAUUGGGGAGGAGGAGGAGGAGGAGGCGUACUCAUUCCCGCAAAAAAUGAGGAAAUUUUGCUCCGGCCCGUUCGGCCAAAUUAUUGGCCGGAGUCUGAUGAAGAGUCGGUUAUAAACCUUAAGCCUCUUCAUCUCCUCGAUCUGUACUUAAAUAAUUGGCUAGGAGCCAAACGUCCUAGCCAAAAAAAAAGCGGCGGUGGGGAAUCAGUUAGAUAUGUGAAGGAGAAGGUUAUGGCAUCAUUUAGAAAUGUGAAGGAGCUUAUGGCCGCUGGAAUCCGCAUCAAGCCUAGCCCUACGCGUUACUUGAGGGACAUUUCUUUCACUUCAAAUGUCAUCACUGGAUGCCUCAGACUUCCUAUCAUCACUAUUGAUAACUCAACCAAGGAUUUGUUCUUUAACUUGAUAGCCUGGGAAAGGUGCUCAAGUCGUCGCCAUGACAGUCAUGACUUCAUCUCUUACCUUUGCUUCCUUGAUUCCCUCAUUGAUCAUGCUGAUGACGUUAAGGAGCUGCAGUCAGCCGGGGUACUCCAAAACAAUCUAGGCACGCAUGAACAAGUGGCUGAAUUUUUCAACACUCUGUCCGCCAAGUUUGAAUCAAACUUUCAUGCUUACAGAGAUGUGAGAGUCAAAAUUCGGAAGCACCUUAAAAGUCACCGUAACAGCAAACUGAAAAGGUGGAUGACACAAUGCCUGGACACCUACUUCGGUAGCCCCUGGACUAUCAAAGCUUGGGUUGGUGCUGCUUUGGUCCUUUUCUUUACUGCCGUCCAGACUUAUUUCACAGCCUUCUCUCAUUGAUGCAUUCAUGGCCUGCUUUCUCGCUAUCUAUUGAGUGCUUCUGCAUUUUACCUAGCCUAAAUUCAUGGACUCCAUAUAACCCUUUGAUGUGCAAAGUAAAUUAGGCAAAGAGUCAUUGGUCCCGUUUCUUUGCCAUUUCAGCCUAUUUUCUACCGUCCUUUCCGGGUUUAAAACAAGUAAAAAAAUAAAUGUAUGCUGUGAUCUUAUUUUGGUGUAUUUUGUGCUUAUGUACGCAUAAGUAAUAUUAUGUUUGAUUUAAGUAACUAAAAAUAGACAUGGGUGGACUGUUUUCUUUUUAUGUUUGGAUGCCUAUUAAUGGAUUAUAUUAGGUUGGCAAUUUUAUUUUAUUGAUGUUGUACUCCAUGUAACUUAUUUCCUCGGAUCUUAAUGGUUGGGAUCGGGCAAGUGUUUGAAGAAGUAAGAUAAAGAAAUGAAAACUUCAGAAAAGAAAAAAAAAAAAAGAACCGAAACAAAACAAUGUGAAAAAUGGAGAAAAACCAGACAGGAAUGCAGGAAAUUUUAAUAGAUGAAAGUCAUUUAUUCAUUUUUAAUUGAGAAAAAUAAAAUAUUAAUAUUUUUAUUAGAAAUUUAUUUAUCAAUUCUCUAUUAUAAAAUUUUCUUGGAUUUCAUGGAAAAUAUAUUAAAGAAAUUGACAUUAGCUGCCGGGAACUUAUCUAAAAUUCCUUUUUUUUUUGUGACAAAGAAGCUUCUGAGGAAAGGAUUUUUUUCAAAAGAAAAAUAAAGGAGGGAAGAAGGUAGGUGGUAUGGAAUAGAAGAAUGGAGAAUGGUAUGAAUGUAUUGAUACGAUUUUUAUCUUCUUGGUUGAUUGUGUAAAUAAGAUGGCUGCGUCACAGAAUUUCACGAGUAAGGGAGUAGUAUUUUUUGGAGAAGAAGAGUUUAGUAAUUUAAUUAUUUUUUAUUUAAAUAUUUUAUUUUCUUUCCAGUUUUAAAGAUGAUAUUGGAAAGUUUGACUCGGUAAUAUUAGGUUUAUAUUUGUUCAGAAUAUGUUUAGGGUUUACAACUCAUAAUUUUUGGCAAACAUUUGUCACAACAAUAAUUAGGAAACUUUUAAGAUGUAUUUAGAAGUGAAAAGUGUUUUAAAAAGUGGAAAAAUCUCCAAUAAAAGCAAGAUUGUGUUAUCUAGCUUGAUUUUUUUGUUCUUUGCUUUUCUCUGCUUUUGUUGCAGCUCUUCUGACCAAAAUACUAAUAGUUUCUAUUAAGCAAAAUAAUAAAACAGACACAAGAUGUAGAAUGACAGCACAUGAUAAGAAUCCAUUUUCAUUAAUAUUUAUAUAAAUAAAAAAUUAAUCAAAGAUUAAUAAUAUUUUAUUCUCCUAUUUUAGAAAAUAAUAUUUAUUUUAGAUAAAUCAAGAGCUAUUAAAAAUAUUUUAUUCUCUUAAUUUAGGAAAUGACAUUUGUUUCCUUAAUUUUAAGAUAUUUAUUCUUUCAUUCUUUCUAUAAUUCACAAUGUAUCGUUGUAUAAUUUUUUAAAAAGAAACAAUAAAAAAAUCGUUUUCAUUAGGAAGAAGCUCAAACUUGAGUCCUCUCCAAGAGUGGUCAAAUGCCAGAAAAGGAGUGGUUGAAUAAUAUAGUCAUGAUCAAAAUGGUUGAGAAGACGCAUAUUUCAAAUUGAGGGGUAGAGGCUUCACCCUUUCUAUGUGUUACAAUUCUUACAAAAAAAAUUCUUUUAUGUUUUUAUCGAAUCUCUAUCAAAAAAUGAUGUCUUCACCAUGUUUAAGAGUAAUCAAAUAUUAAUAAUAUUUUAUUUUCCUAAUUUAAGAAAUAAUAUUUAUUUUAAAUAAAUCAAGAGCAAUCAAAUAUUAAUAAUAUUGGGUUAAAUACACUUUACCUUCUCAACCAAUGGUAGUUCUUUUUUUCCCGCACUGUUUUGCUUCAUUUUUGUCUUUGAUAGCUAAGAAAAUUUCUAGACAAAGAAUAAAUAUUAAGUGAUGAGGUGUUUAUAUCGGUUAGGGUUUUCUUUUGAUAGUUGAAAAAAUUUUGGGAAAAAGUUUAAAUUUUAGGUGUUUAGGGUUAAGGUUUUCUUUCCAUAGUUGAGAAAUUUUAUGAAAAAAAACAGAUUUAGGUGUUUAGGUUUCCUUUUCAUAGGUGUUUAUUUAUAGUCAAUUUAGCUUUCUUAUGACAUUUUUUUUUUGUUUCUUUUCAUCAACAUUGCAUCUAUAUAUUUAUCUAAUAUGAAUUUUAUAUUAUAUGUUUGCAAAUAAACCACCUAACUAUUUUACCAUCAAUUAUGAAGGGCGAUUUAGGGGUGAUAUGAGACAUGUAUUUAAGAAUAGUGAUUAUUUGGGUGGAAAAGUGGAUUAUGUUGAUAAUUGUGACAAUAAUGUAAUGUUUUUGAUUGAGUUGGAUCAUAUAUUGUUUUUAUUAAGAUAUAAAUAUUGCAUUGAAUAUUUCUAUGCUAAUAAGAAAGUGAGAAAAUAAAAGCUAAACCUUAAUAGAAAAAACACCCAAGGGGGAGGGAGGUGAAUUGGGGUUUAAAUUUUUUGUUUUUAAGCACAAUGAAUUCAUGUAAAGGAAUCACAAAUAUAAAGAAAUAAGGAUAAAAAAAACUUAGAUUUUAUAGUGGUUCGGCACCCUUUACUUAUGUCAACUCUCCUCAAGUUCCUAAUCGAGUGAAGGUUCCAUUAUACUUGAAGCUUCAACCAAGCGUCCAACCUUUCAGACCUAGAUUUUGGCUCUAAUGAGUUAUUACACAAUUCGUUCAAAUUUCUACUCACUUGAAGCUUCUAACACUCAAAUAAGAAGUUUAAAUCUGUCAACUAAGCUCAAUAAGAGAUCAAAUACAACUAAAAUACUAGGAUAAAUAACAAUGGUGCACUAAAAGAAUAUGCAACCGAGGAUUUUAAUGCAUCAAGGAGAGAAUGAGAGCUUUUGAAUCAAGAACUGGUAAUUAAACAAAUAAAUGUAGGUGUUCUUAUCUUCGUUAAUGAAAGAAAGCUCCCAAUUUAUAGGUUUCUAGCCUUGGGAGCCAAAAUAUCAAAAAAUAGCCUCGACUGGUCAAGCUAUAGGUCGAGCGGUUGACUAGCCAUUGGGCAAUUAAUGCAUGACCGGUGACUAAUAGGCCUCAACUAGACCUUGAUCGGGCCAUGACUGGGAAGGCAUACCCCUCGAUUAGGAAUGCAACACUACUAGAAGAGAGAGAAGAUUUUUUACAUCUCUCGAUCGAUCCUCGACCGGGAAGACAUAAACGGUCGAUCGGUACUUUAACCGAUUGAUCAGUGCCUUGACCAGUUUACCUUUUUUGGCCUAAAAAUCUGUCAUUUUUUUUUGUUGUUUUUGCUUUUAACACCUAGGUAAGGUCUCUAGUCACCGAGUAUGUCAAUUUUCAAACAAUUUGCUUAAGGUUCAUUUGAUAAAACUCGGAUUUUAAUCAAAUGUGUCUUUAAUGCACUUAGGAUAUGGAAAUCCUAAGUGUACCCAUGUAUUCAACUUACAAACGGUUCCUAAGAUUAAAAUAUCUUCUUUGUGCCUUGAUCUUGAAUCUAUUGGAUCCUUUGAUGAAUUUCUCGGAUCUUGAUCUUGAAUCUUGAAUCUAAAUAGACAGGACUAAGGUGGUGUUUGUUUUUUUUACUUAAUUCUAAAUAGAACCUUAAUACUUAAUAGCAUUAAAUAUUAGGUUAUUUGUUUUUAUAGUAUUUUAUUUCUAUUAAGUAUUAAAAAGUAAAAAAAAAAAACCAAUAUGUUAUUUUUUUUAUUUAGAAAAAGUUACAUAUUUUGGCUUUUUUUAUUUAGUAAAAAGUUUAUAAUAAGUCAUGAAAAAAUAAAAAAACAAACAACCUAAAUUCUAAAACUAAAUUGCUUUCAGCAAAAAGCCAAAAAAACAAACACCACUUAAGCCUCUUUGUUGUCAUUUUUUUCAACCUUGGUGCCAAUCAUAUGUCCGGUAUUAAUUUACUCAUGAUGUGAUCUUGAUUCAUUGAUUACGAUAUAGUUUAUUUGUGGUAGAAUUUUGGGAAAAUUAAUAUAAAAAAUAUCUAAGAAAUGAAUUUGAUGAUCAAAUAAUCCAAGAAAAAAAGCAUCAAAUUUAUGAUAUGUAUAAUGAAAGAUGCAUUUAAGUAAAUUAAUAAGCUCGAACCCUUCCCAAAACCAAGGAGACACGCAUUAGCCUAUUUUAUGUGCUUCACUUGCUGUAUAUUAGUAGGUGUAUGAAUAGAUUAAUCUUUCUGAAGAGAAAAAAGAAGAAGAAGAAGACUUGAGUGCUCCUUUUUAAAUGUUAAAUGACCUUCCCUUUGGAUAUCAUUAUAUCAACAUGGACUAGCUGGCAGCAGCCUGUUGCCUACUCGAUUGGAAUUAUGGAGCUUGCAUGCAAUGAGCUGGUGAUUCAUAUUUCACAGGUGGGAUGUAACUUUUUUCUUUUUUUAAUAAAUGAUAAGAAUAUCUCACAUAUAAAAUAAAAAGAGAAAAUUAACCUAUACGUGGAAACUAUUCUCAAUAAUAAUUUUUUGUUUUUUAAACAUAAAAAAAUAUGAAAACUCAGUUGCCUGUAAUUAUUUCCAAAAUAGGUUGUAAUAAUACCUUUUAAUUAUUUUUGGUUAAUUUUAUUUAUUAUUUGGAGCUAUUUUUAAAUGUAAUUUUAGAAAUAUGAAAAAUGAUUGAAAUUUAUAAAAGGGUACAUAAAAGAAUAUUUUGAAAACAUACAAUAUUCAAAAUUACCAAAGAAGCUUUUAUUAUACCAUAGUAAAAUUAUUUUUGAUAAUUAAUCUCAAAAACCAUCUUUUUAUAACUAUUUUGAAAAGUAUUCUCUAACAAACCUUAUGCUUUUAGGGAGGAAUGGUAAUAUUUUAAUAAAAAUUAUAAAAUAUGAAUAUUAAUAUUUUAGUAAAGUUAUAAAUUAUAUUUUUUUUUGUUAAAAACAAAUAAAUUUUUUUAGAAAAUGAUAAUAGUUAAUAAUAUCUUAUUUAAACUGAAUUAUGAAAAUAAGUAUAAUUUAUUUUUCAAAAUAUGCAAUAAAUGAAUCAAGUUUUGAUCACGUACACAUAUUCAUUCCCUAAUUACAAGUAUUCUGAACCAGUUUAGUCCCACAAAAAUUUUAUAAUAAUUAGCAUAAUUUUUUAGUUUUAAUUUAUUUUUAAAAUAAAAGCAUGGAACUAGAUUGAAUCUUUCUUGGGAAUCCCCAGCAAUGCUGGAGGUUGUGGAGUGGCGGGAAAUCAGGGUCAAUUUCAAUCAAACGUGUAUCUCUUUGUAUGCUUAAAAUAAAAAAAAAAAUCUCGAUAAAUCAUCUCUUUCAAUUACAAAUAACUGUUAUUGAAUUAUUAUUAUUAUUAUUAUUCGUAAUAUAAUUCAAUUAACUAUUUGCUGGACACCUACAGUGUUACACCCGACUAAGGGGAAAAGAAAAAGAUCAUACAAGUUAAAGUUAAUUAAUUUGACAAAAAAAAAAAAAAAUCAAAUUUGUUUCAUCAUCUCAAGAUGUCAAGGGUGAAGACUACUACUAUGCGCCAAAACUCAUUUCUUUGGGUCCUUACCACCAUGGCAAGCCCACCUCAAGGAUGGAGAAACGCUCAAGCUUAAAUUGGCAGAAGCCUACAUCCAAGAAUGUGUGCCAAGAGUGGAUGAAAUUUACCACACAAUUAGCGAAAGCAUUAGUGAGCUGAGGGGCUGUUAUAAUGCGGAGUCCACAAAGAAAUAUAAGGAUGACGAAUUAACCAUCAUGAUGCUGGUGGACGGGUGUGCUUUACUCUGUUACAUUUUAUGCGUUUGCUUAGGUUAUGGCCAUGAAGAUUUCAAUAUCAGAUAUCAGAAAAUGAAAAUUUGGAAGGUCCUUCGUCAUCGGAAACUGAAAUUGGCCGGAGGCUGGGUAGAGCAUCAGUUAGAGAUGUGAAGGAGGUUAUGGCAUCAUUUAGAAAUGUGAAGGAGCUGAUGGACGCUGGAAUCCGCAUCAAGCGCAAUCCUACACGUCACUUGAGGGACAUUUCUUUCCGUUCAAAUGGGAUCACCGCAUGCCUGAGAAUUCCUCCCAUCACCAUUGAUAACUCAACCAAGGCUAUGUUCUUGAACUUGAUAGCCUAUGAAAUGAGCUCAGACGUCGACCAUGACUUCAUCUCUUACCUUCGCUUCCUUGAUUCCCUCAUUGAUCAUGCUGAUGACGUUAAGGAGCUGCAGUCCAUCGGGAUACCAAAACAAUCUAGGAACCCACGAAGAAGUGGCUCAAUUCUUCAACACCGUGUCCGCCAACUUGGAAUCCAACUUUCAUGCUUACAAAGACGUGAGAGUGAAAAUUCGGAAGCACCUUCAGAGUCACUAUAACAGCAAACUGACGAUGUGGAUGACACAAUGCCUGGACACCUAUUUCGGUAGCCCCUGGACAAUCAUAGCUUGGGUUGGUGCAGCUUUGGCCCUAUUCCUUACUUUCGUCCAGACUUACUUCUCAGUCUUCCCUCAUUGAUGCAUGCCUGUCCUGUUUUCAACUAUCACCAUCUCAAUUAAGGUAGUAUCCACUCCAAAUUUCCUUGUUUUUCUCGCUAUCUGCAUUUUACCUAGUCCAUGUAAAUUAAGCAAAGACUCAUUGGCUUCAUGCGCUUUUGACCUUACCUCUUUUGUGUUUUUGGUUUCAGCCUAUUUUCUACAUUGCUUUCCGUGCUUAAAUUAAGUAAAGAAUGACUAUGUAGUGUGACCUUAGUUUGGUGUAUUAUGUGCUAUCGCAAGCAUGUGCUAUGCUUGUAUAUGCAUCAUCAGCAGUAUUAUGUUUGAUUUAAGUACGUAAAUAAAGAUAGAUAUAGGUGGAAUAUUUUUUUUCUAUGUUUAUAUUCCUGUUAAUGUAUUAUAUAUAUAUGUUAGGUCGGCAAUUUUUUUUAUCUCAUACCAUUUUUAAUUAAAUCAUUCUUAAACUAUAGUUACUAAGCCAAAAAUUAUAAUGCUCUAGAAAUAUAAUCAAUCUCAUUGUCGAAUUUUUCUAAAAUAAUCUCAGAAUAAGCCCAAUAUCUCUAAUAAUAUGUUAUUUAAGGCACAUAAUAUUCCAAAAAGAAAAUUCUGCAAAAGAAAAAGAAAUUUGUUGAGAAGUGGUUUAUUUUAGUUAAUAUGAACAAAACAACAUUUUGUCCGAUGGAAAUUUGACUAAUGCUUGUAAGUACCGAUUUGUAAAUAUUUGUGGGGGGAGUUUCUUUUGACAACCGAUGGAGCAAUUCAGGUCAUGCAACACUUAUUUGACAACAUUCUAAAAUAAUGUUGUUAAAAAUAUUUAAGAAUGGUUCUGAAAAUAUAUUUUACUUGUUCUUAGGAAUAAAAUUCAACUUAUUUGACAAUAUUCUUAAGAAUAUGCUUUAUCUGUUUUUACUUUUUAGGAAUAAAAUUCCAUUUAAGAAUUAAAAUAUGAAAUACGGCUUUUCAGCCUUGUCCUUCACAAAGGCAUGCGCAGUGGACCUAUAAUGCAAGUUCUUUUUUGUUCUUUUUUAAAACACUUGCAUAAUUUUCUUAAAGAUUAUUUUCAAAAAAUUUUAAAUUUGAUGUAAUAAUUCAUAAAAUUUUCCUUGCAUGUAAUGAAAAACUCGGAUUAUUUGUAUGUUAUAAAAGUUAAAAUUUAUUUAUUUUUAAAUUAAUUUUAUAUCAAAUAUUAUUAAUUAUUAUUAUUUUAAAAAAAUUAUUUUUUUUAAAAUAAAUAAAUUAUACUUUUAUAAAAAUAUUAAUAUCCAUAUUUUUAUAAUAUAUAUUAAAAUAUUUUUUUUAUGAAAAAUAUAAUUUUAUGACUUUGUUAUAAUAUUACUAUUCAUAUUUUACUAGACAUUAUUUUGUUUUAUUUAUUUGUGAUAACAAAAAAUAUUUUCAUUUUUAAUCAAACUUAAAUUAAAUCUAAUUAAUAUGGUAUAAAUUGAAUUUAUAAUAUUUUUACAAAAUAAAAAUGGAAAAAAAAAAUAAAACCAAUUUAUUCAAAUAAACUUUUUUUUUCUAAUUAUUUUUAAAAACAAUUUAUCUAACACUCUUAUUUUUAUAAAAUGUUAAAAAUAUAUAUAUAUAUUUAAAAAAAAAAAAAAAAAAAAACAUGUUCACACAAAAUGUGCUAUUUUUUACCAUUCAGGUGUUAUCCCUUACUGAUGUAGAUAAAAGAUACGCAUAAAAUUAAAAAUGAUUUUUGGACUGUUGCUAUUUUGAUGGGUUUUUUUUUUUUCAAAUGAAACAUGCUUUUUCCCUUUUUGCCCCCUCUCUGAUUGAGGGUUUGUUUUAUUUCACUCUCAUGGAGAGCCCUCUCCAUCUGCCAGCCAACCUGACAAGUCUGAACUGCUCUUUAAGUCUUUCAUUAAUGACACAACUAACUCUCACAGCAGGCGUUGUAAUUGAUAGAAUCAAGGACAGGACAUGGAGUAAUUUGUUUUACUCCAUUUGCCAACUAAUCUGACAAGUUUGAAACACUCUUUAAUGCUUUGUUUUUCGUCUUUCAAUCAUGACACACCCAACUCUCCAUCAGGCGUUGCAAUUGAUACAAUCAAAGAUGGGACAGGUAUUCAUAGAGGCUUCUUUUUUUCUACACCUCUAUAACCACCCAUUUAAGAUAACGUAUAUUUAUCAAAAUCAAACAUUUACUACAUAAUUGUUUGCGAAACCAUUGAACACUACGAUUUAUUACAUUAUAAAUAUAAACAAGCCAGAUGAACCCAGUCACUCACAACGUAGCCUAUCAUAAUUUCUAUUUUUUUUUUCAUUUGAAUUAAAUUAAAAUUUUCAUAAUAUAAUACUUUAAUUUUUAUUUUGAAAUAAUAGGUGUUGCAUAAUUUGUUUUACUUUACUGGUAGGUUAUGAAUUAUUAUUAUUAUUAAUAUAAUUCAAGUAACAUUUUGUUGGAAACUCAAAGCUUUAUAUGUGACCAGGUAGGAAAAAAAAACACCUAUGAAGACCUAAAAUUAAUGUAAUACCAAUUCAAAUUAUAUAGACAAGUGAGAGGUAAGUGAAAACAAUAAAUAAGAAGAAUAAAAAAGGUGAAAAAUAACAAAUAAAAAAAAUAAGAGAGAGAGUUGAUUAAAUUUUAAAUUAAUAGUGGUUAAGUAUAGUUAACCUAUAUAUUAAGGGAUGUGAGUAAAAUUAAUUUUUUAAAAGUAUUGAAUGUAACCAAAAACAUAAAUAAGGUACUAGAAGUUUUGAAUAAACGUGGAUGUGAGAAAUGGUAUAUUCAUCAAAAUCAAAUAAAAUUGUUGAGAAAACUAUUAAACUAUGAUAUAUAUAUAAUGUAUUAGAAUCUUAUAAAAAUUAUAAGGACCUAUUUAUUAACAAAGUAUCUUACCAUAAAUUUUUAUUUAAAUUAAAUCAAAAGAUUUGACAAUAAUGACUUGCUAUUUGUUGGGCCUAUGUGUGCAGAUCACAGGAUUAUUCGUCAUUGGAUGUUGUUUGGUCACUGCAGUUUACACAUUUGAGGAUGUUUGGUUUAGACAAGUGUCACUGACAGAUUUGUAAACUUAUUUUUUAAAGUAUUUAGGGUUUAUUUAAUCUAUAUUUUGCACAAAAUUGGCAAAGAGAAGAGAUUGUUAAUUAGUGCAUUAGACUACUUGUUUAGAUUUACAAUUUUAUUCAAUUCAUUCUAACUUAAAACUUUUCUAGGCUACUAUGUUUUAUUCUUUAUUGAAGAUUUAAAAUUACUACGUGAUCAAUCGAGAUAAUACAGGCAAGUGUAAAGAUGUACAAGAAAUGUUAAUUGAGAUUGGUUAUAGUGUGGAAUGGAUAGGCUUUUGAUUUUAAAAUUAUGAAAAAGGUGAGUGUUUUUCGAUCCCAAUGCUCAAGCACUCCUUAGACUACUUAAAUGCUUAAGCCAAAAUUAUGUGAAAUUCUAAAAUAUUGUUUUUUUCAUAUUUUGAAUAAUGUUUUUUUUUUUGGGGGGAAAUUUUAGAUGUCAUCCCCCUCUUUUUUUUUCUCUUUAAUGCAAACUUUGAAAAAAAAAAUUAGUCCGAGUAUUAGUUUUUCCACAUUCUAAACUAUUAGAAGUUUGUUUUCUCAUUCAUGGGUUUGUGAGAGACAUCUACAUCCAUUUUAGGCAUUGAAGUGGUCCUCUGAGUGCAUGUGUGGUGCUGCGUUAUAAACGUGAAAACUAAUAUAUGUAUUAAGGAGUAAGACUUAGGAAUAACAUCGAAAAUCUAUAUACCUUUUGUUUUAAUAGUGGAUUUGUACUUUGCAUAUUUUGACCUUGUGAUUUUUACACCUGCAUAAUCUUUAAAAGACUGGGAGUCAUUUCCAAGUAAAUGUUGUUAUAUCUCCAACAUAAUCUUUGAAAGACUGUAGGAGUAGUUUCCACGUAAAUGUUCUUAUAUCUUCUAUAAUUGAUUUUUCUUUACAUUUCAUAAAUAUUAAAAAGGAAAUAAAAAUAAAUAUUUUAGGAUAAAAAGAAGUAAAUACCUGUUGACUUCCUUUAGUUUCAUAACCAAGAUCUACAAACCAUGAGUGUUGCAUGUGAAAAGAAAUAUUUAUUUAUUUUGGGCUAAAAUAAAUAUUUUUCUUUCAAUUUAUUUUACUGUAAUGGUAGGUGGUGAAUUUAUUUUAGUUCACAUGUGAAAAGAAUGGGCCCUCAUCUGCCAUUUUGGACAAGUUGGUUCACUGAUGUGAUGGUAAGGUCAAUUUGUAGUGGAAAGAUUAGCUUAAUUUUGAGUACUCAUUAAAAGGUGGAGAUAAUCUUGUUCUAGACAAAAAUUAUUCAAUCAGUCCAAGAUUUUUUUAAUCUUUAUAAAAAUAAAUAAAAUCUAGAUAUGGAAUCAGUCACGCGGAUGCUAUAAAAUCUGAAAAUAUACCAAAUCAAUGUCACAUCCCAUUCAAAUUUUGAAAAAGAUAUAAGAUGAAUUAAUAAAAUUAUAUGAAAGAAUGUAAAAUACAUGUUGAAAAGUGAAAACGAAUAAUUACAUUGAAUCAAAGAUAAAAAUUGAAAACUGAUGCGUAGAAAGAAAAUGACCUGAUGACUUGGGGAAAGAAAAGGGAUUCAAGUCAACUUUUGACACAAAAAAAAGAAAAAAAAAAAGAAAGUAUAGAGAUAUCUAGUAGUACUAUCUCCAGCUAUCUCAUUCUCAUACUAACAAUGGCUGGGAAGGAGGUGGUGGUUUCAGUGGAGGAGCAGCAGGAAGUAGCUACUAAACAGUCUGAAAAAUCUGCGGAUGGCAGUGAUCAUUCGAGAACCUUGGCUGACUUAAAAUCCAAAUUUCGCCGAUCUCCAUCAUCACCGUCAAGUCCAAAGCUACAAUGUCCCAAGGUUCCAAAGAAGUUGCGAUCAGCUGUCAAGGAGGAAGACUACUAUGCCCCAAAACUCAUUUCUUUGGGUCCUUACUACCAUGGCGAAUCCCACCUCGCGAAUGGAGAAACGCUCAAGCUUAAAUUGGCAGAAGCCUACAUCCUAGAAAUUACUGUGUCACAAGGGAACUCAGUCGAGCAGUCAGUCGAUAACAUUUACCACAUGAUCAGAGAUCGCAUUGAUGAGCUGAAAGGUUGUUAUGACUAUCAGGAGUCCAGAAAGAACUAUAAGGAAGACGAAUUCACUGCGAUGAUGCUGGUGGACGGGUGUGCUUUACUGUGGUACAUUUUAUGUGUUUGCUUAGGUGGUGACCAUGAAGAUUACGAUAUCAGAUAUCAGGAUCUAAGCCUUCUUCACCAGGAUGCGUUGCUGCUGGAGAACCAACUUCCCUAUCAAUUACUACAGGAGCUGAUGAAGAUGGCGGUCCCAGAAUCGGCCAAUAAAGCUUGGACAGUACUAUUCCAGGAAUUCUUUGGCAUGAUCGACGAGUCAUUCUUCCAAGAAUUCUUUGGUAUAAAGGAGAAGGAGUACUCAUUCCUGCCAAAAAUGAAGAAUUAUUGCUGCCGCAUGUUCCUGGCAAUCAUCCAAAUUAUUAACAGGAAACCAAAGCUGAAACCUGGUGAAGAGUCGGAGCCGAAACCUGAUGUAGAGUCGAAGAUGAAACCUGAUGUAGAUUCGAAGAUGAAACCUGAUGAAGAGUCGAAGCCGAAACCUGAUAAAGAGUCGAGGCUUUGUCAUCAUCUCCUCGAUCUCUACCGAAGAAAUUUCCUAGGCGAUGAACGUUCUAGCGCAACGCAUUCGGAGGCUGAAAAUGGCAAGAAGGGUCCGGGAUCAGUUGGAGAUGUGAAGGAGCAGGUUAUGGCAUCAUUUAGAAAUGUGAAGGAGCUUAUGGCCGCUGGAAUCCGCAUCAAGCGCAGUCCUACACGUCACUUGAGGGACAUUUCUUUCCGUUCAAAUGGGAUCACCGCAUGCCUGAGAAUUCCUCCCAUCACCAUUGAUAACUCAACCAAGGCUAUGUUCUUGAACUUGAUAGCCUAUGAAAUGAGCUCAGACGUCGACCAUGACUUCAUCUCUUACCUUCGCUUCCUUGAUUCCCUCAUUGAUCAUGCUGAUGACGUUAAGGAGCUGCAGUCCAUCGGGAUACUCCAAAACAAUCUAGGAACCCACGAAGAAGUGGCUCAAUUCUUCAACACGGUGUCCGCCAACUUGGAAUCCAACUUUCAUGCUUACAAAGAUGUGAGAGUGAGAAUUCGGAAGCACCUUAAAAAUCACUACAACAGCAAACUGAAAAUGUGGAUGACACAAUGCCUGGAUACCUACUUCGGUAGCCCCUGGACUAUCAUUGCUUGGGUUGGUGCUGCUUUGGCCCUUUUCUUUACUGCCGUCCAGACUUACUUCUCAGUCUUCCCUCAUUGAUGCAUGCAUGCCCUGUUUUCUCGCUAUCUAUUGAGUGCUUCUGCAUUUUACCUAGCCCAAAUUCAUGGACUCCAUAUAACUCUUUGAUGGUUGCAAAGUAAAUUAGGCAAAGAGUCAUUGGUCUCGUUUCUUUUCCAUUUCAGCCUAUUUUCUACCUUCCUUUCCGUGUGUAAAAAAGUAAAGAAGGAAUGUGUGGUGUGAUCUUAUUUUGGUGUAUUUUGUGC